AAGACAUUGAAUUUUCAGAUAUAUAUCUCUAUUGUGUGAUCAGAAUUCUCAGAUGCAGUAUUUUGUGAGAGAAUAAACUUGUACCAGUUGGGUAGAUUUGUGACUAUGAGGAUGAUGAUUCCCCAACAAAUUGGCUUCUUCUUCUGGAAUUAAACGGAUCAGGUAUCGAUUCGAUCUAUGUAAAAUCAAGGGAAUUUCGGCUCACGAUUUUGGUAGAUGCGGAAUCACUAUGCAAACUUUAUUUUCAGAUCUUAUAAUAAUUAAUAUGUUUGAAAUCCGUUAUAUAUAUGUGUGUGUGUUUGCCUUAAAUUUUAUAUCCCAAUUGAAUUUCCUCUUAAUUAACUUUGGCCAGCAAUUCCAGGCUUAAACGAGAGGGGAACAUAUGGUAGUGGUUAAUUUGCACAUGAAAACUAUUGAUUUAUGAUAAUGCAUCGUAUAGGCGUAGCUGUUUGAUUUGAAAAUAUUUUUUCUUUUUUGUGUUCUAGCUAGCUAGUCCUGUCUGUGCAGAAUAUAAUAAUUAUAAUUUUAAUAAUUUCAGCGUUAGCUGCUUCUGCUCUUUUUCUCGUCUCUCUGCUCACUCACCAUAUUAGCCUUUUUCUUUUGUUUUGAAAUGGUCUUUUGUGUAGCCUACAAAUGCAGGCUAAAGUUUCAACUUACAGUGGAUCAAUGGUCAUCAUUGAGAUUUCUCCAUAGAACAUGUCUCACUCAAUUCAUUAAACCUUUGAUUUGUGUACUUGUACUGUUUUAGUCGGCAAAGUCACAGAUAGAAUUCAGUAAUUUAAUAUAUAUUCCAGCCUGCAGAUUCAGCAUAACCACAAGUUAGUAUCUAUUAAUUAAUCACGAUUUGUUGUUGUUAUAUUUUAUUAGCAAGCUAGGAACAAUUAUACGGUUCUUAUCUUGACUAACAAAAAUAAAAAAAUAGAGUAUGUAUAUCUAGAUUCAUCCUAGCUAGCUUGCUAUUGCUAGAUCAAGAUAUUCUUUUUUCAAAAAAAAAAUAUCUGCAAGUGACAACAAACAAUUUUUGUUUUGGGUGCACGGGACUAACUAGAAGGAACAUUUUCAGUUACAGAUUGUUAGACAAUGGACCACAGAGAGGUGACCAUACUGCCUUUAUCUCUCGUAUGGAACUUCCAACAACUUAUGAAUGCUUUAAAGCCAUUGGUUGGUGACCCUAGCAAGGGGUUAGGUUAGGUGAAGCUUUUAUGGAAAAGAUUAACCAUAAGGAUCCUCUCUAAAAUUAACCCUCCAGGACUAUGUAUUAUGGUGAUUGAUUCUUGCUUGCUAUGCAACAAAGAAAACCUACCUAAUACCAAUGCAGAACCAGCUUGUGAAGGAAACUAGGGUUUUCUUUUUCCCAAUCAAGUUAGAGACAACCAUGCUACGGGAAAUGGGAAUUUUUUUAGACCACCUGCGAGUACUUGCUUCCUAGUGCUGAGAAUCAGUUCAAAUGAGACUCCCCUUUUUGUUUCUCCCGAAAGAUUUUUGAAAUUAGAAACGGCAAAAAGCAAUUUCAAGUUAUGGAAAAAGCAAUCGAUCUUGCAUGGCCUUGAAAAAGAAGUGCCCGAUCCCGAUAUUAUUAAUAACAUCAAUAUAUAUCCCACAAAAAGUUUUUAUUUUCCUUCAUUUUGUGUCUUACUAUUAAAUCCGACAAAAUGGCGAGCUUCAGCGCCAUCAACUUUACUAGGACUUUUUAGUUGGUGCAUUCACGAGCACUAUGAGUCCAUCCAAUAAACAACUCCACCUCUUUUUAAUUUUUAAUUUUUAUUUGUUUUCCUUUUUCAAAAAGACAUGUAAAAGUCAUAUGAGCAUGCCACUUUAUUUGCAAGAUCAGUAUCCUAAUCCUACUGUAACCCAUUAAUCUAACAUACAUAUUCUUACUUGUUCCUCAUUCUAUGGCUUUUUUUUUUUUUUUCCUAUGUGGAUGAUAAAUAACUUUAAACUGAUUGAACAUGAUGUCCUGCUUUUGCUUGUUUGGAUCUAUACUGUUCUUGAAAUAUGCUUUUUCACUCAUGGUUAUCCUUGCUAUUAAUUAUUUCCUUUAAUUUAAUAAGUUGUGAUAGACCUGAUGCGUUGUAGUCAAAUGAUGUGGAUUGUGGAUUUGUAAUUGUCUGAUUUAAUUAUACUUCUUCCCUAGUUUUUAAACUUUGGAGAAAGAUUAAACUGAAAAAGUUAGAUUUCGUUGUGCUCCGUGAUGUGCAAGAGUGGAAGAUCGGUGAAAAGAGUUAAACGACAGAGAGGUAAUAAAUUAAUAGACAAUCCUCUUGAUCUUGCUUUCUUAGCAGUGCCACUUUUGUCUUGUGGCUAACAACUAUCACAUUUUAAAAUCAUUACAAAUUUGUAUCCCUUGAUGAGCUUUUCGCUUAUCACGUUGCAUUGCCAUCGAUCGAUCACUAUUAAUUGGAUUAUAAACUCUGAGCAACCGCCCCCAAAUAAUGCUAUGAUGAAUUCAUUGAUCUUUUGGCCAAUUAAGAUUUCCUUUUCAGGGAUAUGAAAACCAGAUUCAAGCAUGUCUAAAUGUUUCCAGCAUUUAUUGAGUGUGUAUAUAUAUACCUUUCUGCUUUUGUAUAUAUGCAGUCACAGUUAGUUAAUAAUUAAUCUCUCUUAAAUAUUAAUUCCACACUCAUUAAAUUUGUAGUCCUUUUAUUUUUCUUUUGGUAAUAUUUUCAAUCGUUUUCUAUUAUCUCCUGGCAAACAAAUUAAAUGAAAGAAAAGAAUAUAAGAAAUUAAUUGCCAUGGUUUCUUGGUAUGCCAGGUUAAAUGCACAUAUAGAGCCUGAGGCAUAAUUCACAAGUUGAAACUUAUACUUGAAAAUAAUCAUCAUGAUUGUUCCGUCCAUGUGUACGAUUUCUAAUCUCCCAUCAUGGGUCAACAUAGUUUCCUUUUAUUGUUAUUUUGGCACUUUCACAUCGGAAAGGGGGAAGGUGUUAUUAUUUUCAUUGGGCGUCCUCUAUUUGUAUGGGUGGCUCAUCACCGAGUUACUUACGUCAAUAGCAUACCCUACCAUUGAUGGUGGGCAUGUAUGUAUUGUUAUUGUUGUAAUUUUAUUACUCAUUUAUUCAUGUCACUGUAAAAUAGGACUCUUUUUUUUUUUAAUCAUCUUUCACGGGGCGUGUAAUGUGAAUACAGAGCCAAUCCAAUUCUAACGGAUCCUGCCGACAUUCUGCUUAAUAUGACAAUCCUACAUACUUGAUUGCAACUUGUUUUAUCUUCUAAUGAAUAUGAGGUCACAAUUGAUCAUCUUCAUCAUCAUCAACAACAACAGAAAAAUAUCCAAUACACAUGCCCUUUGUUGGUUGUUUAUAGUGCUACUGAUCAAAGGAUUAUGGCUUGUGAAAUGGAUGUCAAUUUCCUCAAACGUCUUGCUCGAAUUAGUAGAAUGGUGGACUCUGGUUCAAGAUCACAGUUUAACCUUGCUUGGUACUACCUACUUUUGCACUUGAAAUUCAACCAUGUAAACAUCUUACCUGCCUCUCCCAUUAUAAGCUCCUUGAUGUUGAUUGGAGUACAAAAUACGAACAAAAAUGAUUUUGGUUGAUAGAGAGAAAAUUGUAUAGGUACAAACAGUUUGGUUGAAAAGUUAUGCAAGUGAGAGAGAGGAAGAUAGGAGAGGAGUAUUGAAUAAGAUGGUUGAUGUGAUGGAAAAUGAUAAGAAAAAAUUACAAAAAAAUAUUGUACAAAUCUAUUGUAUGAAUAUAAUAAGUGAUCUCAUCUAUAUAUAACCCUACUACCAUUUUUCCUAAAAUUCCAUUUCAAAAUAUGUACGGAUCCUCAAGGGGUGCUUUUUUUGCCUUUUGUAUGCUCGAUCCAUGUCUUGAUGAAUAUUUCUAUUUCAAAUAUUUUAUUCAUAAAAAAGAAGUAUGAUGGAGGAACCCUUGAAUUUUCUCCCCGAGAUUUUCUUUUUAUUCUAUACGUUACUCCAGGUAACAUGAAAGCAUCUUUGAAGAGAAAAUAAAAGGAAUUAUUUUAUUUUUACAACAACUUUCUCUAACGUGAAAAAGAAUGGAAUUUCUAAAAUUAAAUUAAACGUAGAGAUUUUUUAGAUGGGCCAUUAAUUAUUAUGCACAGGAUAAGUAUUUACAAUAAAUAAAUAUUUUUCAAUAUAUAAAUUUAGCCUUAUAUAAAAACAAUCUUUUAUCCCAUGUAAUGCACAAAUUUAAAUGUUAGUUAUAUUUUGAAUUUAAGUUAAAAUAUUUAUAGUGUUCUGUAAACUUAUUUUAACGAUUGAUAAUUUCUUCUAAAAAAUAUUAAAAAUUUAUUUUAAAAUAAAGAUGGAAAAUUAGAUUUUAAAAAUAAGAGGUUAAAAAAUUAAGCAUAAGAAAAAGGAUAAGAUAUAAUGAUUUGAGAUAGUUGAGAGAAAAAAUUUGGCCUAGUUUAAAAUCAAAUUAACUUAAAAAAUGCAUUGGAAAAAAUAAAAAAUAAACAUAAAUGCUCAAUGAUAGUAAGAAUAACUCCUAAAGUCAUCUCAUUUUAAAAUAUUUUUUUAAAAACAUUAUCAUUUAAAAAUGACUUCUAAAAAUGUUCUUAUUUAAGAAUAAAAAUAAAAUUUAUAAUAUAGAAAUAGAUAAAUAAUUGUUAGAGAUGGAUCUUUUUUUUCUUUAAUUGUGCGUGAUUUACUUGUUGAAAAUGAUAAUUAGUUUUUUUUCUUCUUUCAAAAUUCCUAAUAUUAUAAGUAGAAUUCAUCUUAAAGUUACAGUAUAUAUGCUUUUUUUUAGAUUGGAAGUGAAAUAGAAAGAAAAAAAAAAUAAGUGAACAAAAAAUAAAAAAGAAAGAAAGAAGAAGGAAAGAAAUAAAUGAGAAAUAGAGUAGAAAGAAUAUGUUAAUUGAAUAAAUAGAAAUAAGAAGAAUAGAAAUGAAGAAAUUUCUCUUUACUUAUUUUGAUAAAGUAGUAGAUAGAAUAUAAAUAAAUAAAAAAAUUGUGUGAAAAAUAUUAUAAAGUUAAUAAAAAUACAUAAAUUUAAUCUAAAAAUUAAACUUUCUACUUUAUUUUUUUAACAAAAAUAUUUAUUAUCUUUUAAAAUAUUUAUGUUAUAAAAAUAUUUAUUUUUAAGAAACUAUAAAGAAAAAAAAAAUAAGAGAUAUCUUCUCUAGAUCUCCUGCCCCAUUUCAUGCCAAUUUGAGGGGACGGGGGAGUUUUUUCUCGCGAUUUCCAUUGACAAAAAUUUCUCCAAAAAUGUAGUAUUUCGAUCUAUCUUAUCUUUCUCUUUUCCUAUUUUUUCCUAAAACAAAUAAUGGGUUAGUACAUAGCCAAUAGCUUUUAACCAGCAGGUGGGUUGGACUUUUAUAUGUACAAAAAAUAGUAAGAUUAUUUAAAAAAAAAAACAUUUUUUCCAAAUUUUGAGUAAUCUCAUAUUGUUACAAUAUGAAAGAGGUUGGAACUAAUUGUCUUUGUUAAAUUAUAUAAAAAAUUCUGGCUCAAACAAUUAAUUAAUUAUGAUACAGAUAAUUUGUUUCUAUCUUUUCCCAGCAUAUUGGUCAUGUGACAAGAGAGACUCAAAUCCGAAACUGUGAUUGUUCUUUCUGAGUGUGAGUGGAAUAAGAUAACCUAUAUAUGCAAGCUUUUAGUGACUCAUGAAUAAGCAUGUAUACUUCUUUAUUGUUGAAAAAAAAAGGAAUCUGUGCUCUUUUUAAAUUGUUUUGUGCCUUGCAGAAUGUCUUUCUAAUUUCUCAUAAACGACAAAUAAUUUGGUAAACAAUUUUUUUUUUCCAAAAAAAAAGGCAAAACCAAUAUUUUGGGCUUUUAAUUACAAUGAUAUUUUUUGUUAGGUGCAUGAAUCCGAACAUUCCCAUAUAUAUACCUGUGUUGAGGUGGGAGGUGUGGUGGGGAAGCCUUGCCAUCAAAGCUAGAGGCCCAUUGGCAAUAAUUAUAUAUAAUUUUCUUAACUGGAAUUUAGGUUAGCACAUUAAAGAAACAACGGGUAGCAAGUUACACUGCAUGGCAACUGACACUUUCCUGUUUAGCCUCCGACAUGAGAAAAAUGUAUCACAUUUACUUUCUUCCUUCUAAAAAAAAUAUAAAAUUAAUAAACAAUAAGGCCAUAUAUAUUAAACAGUAGUGUCAAAAGCAAGAAUAAUUCCGUACUAGGAAAUUUAACCGAGUAUUCAGUUCAUGUCAUUGAAGGCUUCACUGUGCAUCCAUGAUCAGUUAUAACUCUGUCUCUCUGGUAAUUCACACGAUGUCGUAUCACAAUUCACAAAUCCGUUUCAUGGUAUACUCAUUGGGGUUUCGUGUGCCCGUGUUCAAAAUUUGCACUAUUUCCCUGAACGCUGUAAAAUAAAUAGAAAUUGGAUAUAUAUAUAUAUAUAUAUAUAUAUAUGGAUAGAGAUAUAUAUUGGUGCAUUGUUACCGAAUUAUGUAUAGUACCAUCACACUAGCUCUUCAUCAUGAAUAUACUAAUCAUAUCCAUUUUAUACGAAGAUGCACAGAAAUGCCAUGCUUCCGUGUCUCCCUGAUCAAUCUGAUUUUUUGUGGUCCUACCUUCUCUGCACAACUUGUGGCAUUCCCUUAAGCUAAAACGUUCCAAGUGUAUGAAAACAUGUGCUUUAUAUUUGGUAAAGGUUCUCCGUUUUAUCUUAUACAAUAGAAAUGCCAUGAUUAAUCCCCCGUUAUUCCCUCUCUCUACUGAUCUAGGCCAACAAUUACAAAGCUAGAUUCUGCCAUACCCAGAUGCUUAUUUCGGGUGUGAAAAUUCAAUUGAUUUUCAGAUUGGUAUGCUAAAUUGGGUCUAUUUAGCUCUUUUUACAACAAUGCAGUCUGCAACAUAGACACAGUGAUCUAGACAAAGUUCGUGACCAUGUGAGCGUGUAAAACUGUAAGUGUGAUAAAUUAAAUUACCAAAGAUUUCAGCACCAACUUGGGUUUCUAGAGAGAAAGAGACAGGCAGCCAGAGGAGAGGCUAAGAGAGAGAGAGAGAAGAGGGGAUUGAAAAUCAAUACGCCAAAUGAUGUCAGGAGAGAGGAGUGGUUAAAAAAAUGAUGUCACGUAGUGACAAAGGUUAACCUUUUUCACAGAAAUGUAGGAGACGAUGUGGAUUCACUAAACUAAAAGGGCAACAGGAAGAACUAUCAUCAUUAAUGAUAAAAAGGAUAGGUGGGGGAAUCUUCUCUGCAAGCACUGCCCUUUUUUUUCACCAUUUGAUUGAAUGAAUCAAAUUUUUAAAAAGUAAAUUAGUUAAUGGGAAAGUUCACCCAAUUCUACAGACAACUAGGAAACAUUAAUUUUUUUCUUCUUUAAUUUAUCUCAAAAAUAAAAAUUCAAUUUUCUACUGCCGCUCACCUUGCAUGGCUCAAACGUGUAGCAUCAGAUUUAAUAUACACACACACACACACACAUAUAUAUAUUGUGUAUGUGCUUUUUUCAACCCUAUCAUCGGAGGGUAAUUAAAAAACCCACAUUGUCAUUGUUCAUCCAAGACCCAACAGAAAAAGAACCUACCCAUUUUUUCACAGAAAACAGGACUGUUAAAUUCGGACAUUAAUUAAAUUAAAGUGGGUAUUUUCCAAUUCUUUCCUUAAAUUAAAUUAAACAGAAAGAAAACAAUUUGACCGGAUCAAAUUACAGAAUUAUGCAUCGGCAAGGCUAUAAAUUCAUCAGGUAAAGUGAAUCCUAUAUAUAACAAAGCCAUAUAUAUAUAAAAUCUCUAGAUUAAGAGAUUAUUAUGUAUAUCACACUGAAAAAUCUUCCAGAGAAAGAGAUCACAUAUAUUUACUUUACACACAUCAACAUCACACCCCCGGUAUAUAACAAAGAUGAAAGAGGGUUGUGAGAGUUACCGUGAAAGAAAGAUAAUUAGGAUGAGAAAAGAGAAUUGAAGAGGAAGAAGAUGUGUUCACCUUGUAUACUCUGAAUCUUGCAAGUGGUGGUAAGCCAGCUAGGAUACCAAAUUAAGGCAAUUAAAAGCCUGAAUUGCCAUAUUCUCCCACAGCUUUCUUGAGCUUCUAGGGCUUAAAAUGCUGGAAGUGGAGAGAUAUAAGAUGCAUAAGAAGUUCAAGAAAGCUGUGGAAAAGCAUGACCAGGACUUGAGAGGAAAAUUGAGCUCAGAUCUCACACACACAGCAUCUAGACUAAUGAAGGCACCAAAAGUUAUAAUGAGAAAAAGGGAUUGAGGGGUGUGUGGAGAUAUAGGGGAAGGAGGAAUUAGCAUAAGAAAGUAAAGGAGGGUGAGAAGCGAGAAAUAACCAUGCCCAUACAAAGUUUCUCGUGGACCACUCUACCAUUUAUAAUAUCAAUCUACCAGCUUUAUAGAGAGGAGAGAGGGAGGGGGUGAGAGUAGGGUUCACUUACAAAGGUGCAAUUUACCCACAAAAUGGCUUACUUUCCCGGUGAGUGCGCAGUGGGUCACAUACAAACACGUCAGAUGGGUAAAGAACAAUAAUCUUUCCAAAAAAGACAAAUCAAGAAAAGAAAUGUAAUUGACAGGCAAAUGAGAUUUUAAGCAACAAAAAGAAAAAUAUAAAUAUAGAGAGAGAGCUUUUGUAAUUUGAAUAAACCCUUCCCAUUCCCCUCACAUGCCACCAUGUGAGCAGGAUCUCUUUUUUAUUUUGUGUGUAGAUUUAAAGUAUGGGUUGUUUAUGGUCCCCAAUCUUUGUAUACGUAUUAAUUUGUUUUUCUUUCAAUUCAUUUGUAAAUAAAUAAAACAACCACACAGACUUACAAUAGUAGUUGCUAAUCAAUCAUUUUGCUUAUGUAAUGCAGAUGUUUGUUUUAUUAUUGAGAGAAUAAUUAAUCUGUGUAGAGCUAUUAUGAGAAUGCACAAUAUGGUGGCAUAUGAGGCUGCCCAAUGAAGGGACUAUUAUUGUGCACGUAUUAAAAAUUAUUUCAUGAACAUUCUAAAUGCUAUAAGACACCUAGAUAGAAAAAAAUAUAGAUAUAUUAUAUGAUUUAUGAUGUGAAAAAUAGAAAAGAGAAAAAAAGUUAUAUAUUACAUAAUUAUUCAAUCAUAAUUUAUUAUAUAUGAUAAAUUUAUUUGAUUUUUAAAAUAAUUAUGUUAAAGUAAUUUAAAUCAUGAUUUAUAAUUAAAUGAUAAUAUAAAAUUAUUUAAAAUUAUUAGUGUAUAGACAUUCAAUUUUAAAAAAAAUACAUAUAAAUGAGAAAUAUUAAUGAAAUAUUUAAAAUAAAUGUAUGUUUGUGUAUAUUAUUUCUCUAAUUUUAAAUCUAACUUAACCACGGGAAAGGGAUAAAAAGAAGAAGAGCUAAAGAUUGUUUCUAUAUAGAGGGCCUUUCUAUUUUUACACUUGUAUGAGUAUAUAUCCUGGAGCUAUUCCAGCUAUGCGCUACACAUCUACAACUAGCUACUUACACAAAUCAAGGUGUACUACACUAGAAAGUGGUUGAGUUUUUAAUGCCAAAUGUUGGCUCAAAUUUAAAAAUGCGCCCACUUUUAUCUGCACUUUUGCUACUUGAGAUGUAUCAAAAGAUUAAUAUGUCUAAAGUGUGUCCACCAUUAAUUCAGCUAUUUAAUAACGUUCAUAUUUUUGGCAGUUUAUUAUGUUAUAACAUUUUCUUUUAGUUUAAUUUCUUGAAUAUACGAAACAAUCAACUUUACAAGUUUUUUUUUUUUUUGGAGAAUAAACUUAUAAUCAAUUCUGCACAAAGUGAAAAUAAGCAAGAGGUUAAUAUGGUAACAUGAGCGGAAAAAGGCAAUAAGCGUGUGUUUCAAUAAUUUCCACAUUAGCAAUUCCUAUAAAUUAAACUCUUAAUUUUUUUCUUAAAAAUCAACAUAUUCCCUGUAUAUUUAAUAUAAUUUACUAACUCUAUUCAUUUUUUUAGUGUUUUGUAAUGAUGUAAUAUAGAAAUUAAAAAAAUAAAAUUAAUGUAAGAAAUUAAAUUCACGUUUUCAAAAAUUUAAAUUAAGAAUAUCAUGUAUUAUUAUUUAAGGAAGACUAAACUAAACAACUAAGUCACUUUGGAGAAAGUACAUCAUAAUUUAAUAUUCAUAGGUUUGUAAAAGUUAAAGUUUGACAGAGGAAAAAUAAAUUUUAAAAGGAACUAGUUUUAUAAGCUAUGAUUUAGCUAGGUAAAGAAGAAUAAAUUGUAAUAUUAAAAAAUGUACAAAAAAUAAUAUUAAAAAGAAUAUUUGAGAGUAACUUUUUUUAAAUGUAAUAUUUAGCUAACACUUUUAACAAAGGAUUUUUAAUAUAAAAACGUUAAAAGUAAUAAAUAAUUUUAAAGUUCUAGAACAACAUUAAAAUAAAUAAAUAACCAAUUAUCUUGUAAAUAAAAAAUCAUCUUAUCUCUUAGAUUAAUUAUUAUGUUUUAUUAUAUAAGACUAAACAUAAAGAUAAAACUGAGUCAAGAAAAAUAGAUAAUUAAACUUAAGAAUACUGAUUUUUAUCAUUUUUAUAUUUUAUUAUUUUAACUUAUUAGUUUUUUUUUUCUAAAUCUAAUCUAAUUAUUUUGACCUUUUUAAACAUGUUUCCAAAUCCUCGCCCCCCAGAAUGUAAAUUACCUUUUAGCAUGAAAAAAAAAAAAGUUAUGCACUAAAAAUGUAAAAUAAUUUUACACUAUCAUUUAUUCUUAAAUUAUUAUUUAUUGUAAGUUUGUUAACUUUAAUAAUAAAUACUUUAAAAUUCAUAUCAAUGAUGAUUUUUAAUUGAUUGAUAAUGUAAUUUUUUUAUAUUAAUAACAAGUAUAUAUAUAUCCAUUAAACUAAAAAUACAAAAGCAUCGUUUUCUUAAAUGAUUCAAAACUAUCAAGUUCUUAUUAUAUGCUUGAAUGUAGAAAAAUGUGUACAGGAAAGAAUUAGAAAAAAGGGAAAGAGAAAAUAAAUCAAAGCUAAACAAAUAAUUGUUUCUCUUUUAACUUUUUGUUUUAAAACCGAUUUUUUAAACAAUUUUACUCUACUCGACAAAUAACUUUUCAUCCAAAAAUAUAAGUUUUGAAAAUUAUUUUUGAACACAAGAAUUAAAAAAAAAACAAUUGGAAAAUAUUUUCUCAUAUUCUUCAAGCAUUUUGAUGAACUAUUAUACGGACAAUUUUUUUCUUAAAAAAAACAGAAAUAUAUUUCAAUUGUAUUCAAAACACAAACACUUUUUUUCAAAGAACUGAAAAUUAUUUUUGAAAACAAUAAACAAACACGGCCUAAAGUUCUAGGUUCUUUUUAUUAAUUAGCAAAUAAAAAAGAUACAUUGUUUCUCUACUUAUUUGGUUAGGUAACAAAGUAAAAGAAAAAUAAAAUAUUUUGAUAUAAAGGUUUUCCCUUUCUCAUUGUUGACAACUAUGUUUAUACAUUGUUAAAUUAAAAUGGAAUUCUAUCACCUUUCCAAGUUAAAAGUGUAUAUAGUUCUGACGACAGGUAGAGAUUAGUUAAUAAAUUUUUUUAUCAAACAUGUAUUAAAAUAUUAAAAUAGUAAAUACUUCACAGUAAUAAUAUGAUAAUAAAAAAAAGUAAUAUUUGUAUGAUAUGAAGGAUAUAUAGUGCGAGUAUUUAAAAGAAAUGAACAAAUCUCUCUAAUUUCUCUCUUUAUUACUUUCAUUGAACAAAACAUAGCAUAGUGUUUUCAAAAGUUAAUCCCACACCAAACAAAUUGAGAAUAAAUGAAGAAAAAAAAAUGCUAUUGUUAAAUUAUUGAGCCAAAUAUGCAUUUCUUUUAAGAUAAUCCACUUAUAACUAGUGUGCCAAAUUUAAAAAGUUUGGUAAAUAGGAAUCAAUGUUUUUACUGGUUCGAGUAGGAAUUAAAAGUUUAUCAACAAGUUAUUAAUUCGAAUUAAUUAAAUUUAGCUUCUUUAAAUUAGAUCUCAAAUUCAAAUUUUAUGAAUAAAAAAAUAUAAUUAAAAAGAAAAAUUUUACUAUAAAUUAUGAAUAAAUUUUUCAAAAGCAUUAAUAAAGAUAAUGGAUACUCCAUUGCGUACGUAUAAUAACACAAUAAGAAAAACUAAGAACUAAAAAAGGUUCCCUGAUACUAAUAUCAUUGAAUUUUGAAUCUCGUGACUCAAGAACUACAUCAGUACAUCUUUAGUCGUGGACCUCUACAACCAUUUUAUCUGGGAUUAGGUAUGUUUAUUUUGACCUGGCUCAUUAUAAGUUGGGCCGAAUGCAAAAUGGCCUAUUAUAAGUCGAGUAAAAAUUACAUUGGUAACUUUUUUAUUUAAUCGAACUAUCGAUGGUUUAUAUAAUUUAUUUAUUUAUAUAAUUAAAGUAUAAAACAUUUCUUCAAAUAAUUUACGAAAAUCAAAUUGUAUUGAAAAUUAAACUAAUUUGGUUUUUGUAUUUUAAAAUAUUUUAUUUAAAACGUACAAAUACUUGUUAAAAUAAUAUAAUAUUUGGGAAAUUUUAAUUUUUUAUAAUUAUAUUAAAUUAUUUACAAUACUUUUAAAUUUUAAAUUUUUUAUAAAUCUAACACAGUUUAUUAAAUUGUUUAAGUUGAUGUGUGAAGCUCUACGUAUUUUUGAGACCUGUGUACAGAAGCAUAAAAUGUACAUGUACUACUGUGACGGUGAUGAAUGAAUGGGAUGGGGAUAUGAUGACAUACGAUAGGACAUAGAGCCCCUCACACGAAGUUUGUAGGCGAUUGGGUUAGUUGCAUUGCAUUAUUAUUAUUAUGGCAUCAUAACAUAAAAUAUGAGAAGCGGAUAACAUAAGAUAUUAUCAUCACAUCAUGAUCAUGUGCGUGUUUCUAUCUUAAUGUGGUGGUGGGUUGUGGCAUUGUCGGUCACUAUCCCGAGCUCAAGUGGGUCCUCCAUAUUCACUUGAGCAACUUUACGUAUACAAAAAAUGUUUUUAUUUUAUUUCAGUUUCACAGGACGUAAUUCUAUAUUUUAAUUAUUUUACUAGAAAAAUUAAAUGAAAUACUACCUUCGAAUGUAAAUAAUAUAUAGAGAAAGAAAAAAAAAACAUGAGAGGUGUUAUUGUAAGGUCCACCUCAGGAGCAGCAGACACCAGUUAUAUCAGUUUGAUAUUCAGUUUGUUUUUCUUUUGUAGCGUACGGAGCAAGUGGGUUGGUUUGUUUCCAUUCGCAUGGAAGUGAAAGAUUUUACCGUGUGAGUGAGUGAGCGUGUGGUUCUAGUUAUGAUUUAUGACUUAUGACUUAUGAGUAUUCUAUACUGCUGCUCUGGAAUUAUUCCACUAAAAUUAUUGCAAAAUCAAAUGUUACUUCUAUCUGACUCUAUUCAGUAUUUGUUUUUUAUUUCAUUAAUGAUCUCCGUUACUUUUUUCAUCGAUCCCUAUUUUGUAUUAUAAAUUUUGAGUGAAUAGACAAUUUAGUCCUUGAGAUUGUAUUUAUUUUAUAUAUUAGCCUCUAACUUAUUAUUAAAUUCAAAAUAGUCUCUAUCUUUGCAUAAGUGUUGCAAAAUAGUCCUUCCGUUAAAUUUUAAAAUAAUGCCGUCAGUGAAGUCAAUUUUAGUGUCACGUGGACUAUUCAACGUGACACUAAAGGAUGACGUAGCAUGACAUGUAGGCGUGUCUCCUAAAAGAUGUCACGUCAUUUGAUAAUAACAAAACGAGUAAAUAGGCAAUUUAGUCUCUGACUUUGUAAUCCUGUUGCAUAUUAGUUCCUAACUUAAUGAAAAAUUCAAAAUAGUCUCUAUCUUUUGCAUAAGUGUUGCAAAAUAGUCCCUAACUUAAAAGAUGCCAAAAAUCGUGCUAAAGUGUUCGUGCAUUACAAAGGUUGUGCCUUGCAUGAUUUCUGGCAGCGCAGAUUCCUCCUUGGAUUCUUUGUCAUAUUUUGAUUCCUCUGUUUUUUUCUCUUUUUCUUUCUUUUCUUCUUCCUCUACUUUUUUCUCCUCCACUUUGUUUUCCUCUGGGUUUUUUUUCUUCCUAUUCAAAACACACACAAAAAAAAAAUCAAAACCUGGAAUAAUACAUUGAUGGUAAUUGAAGGAAAAAAAAAGAGAAAAAGAGAAUGGUUAUGCAUACCUCGCCCAUUGGUAUUGAUUGCUACAGAGAUAAGGUUGUUAUUGUGGAUUUUUGGUUCUUUUUAUUUGUGCAAGUGUGUGUGGGUUCUUUUUCGUAUAUAUACCUCAAUUGGUUCAGAAUCAUCAAAUUUGAAGAAGCCACUCAUUCUAACAUCAUCAAAUGGCGUGACACUAAAAUUGACUUCACUAACAACGUUACUUUAAAAUUUAACGGAAUGACUAUUUUGCAAUACUUAUGCAAAAGAUAGGGACUAAUAUGCAACAGGGGUACAAAGUCAGGGACUAAAUUGUCUAUUUACUCGUUUUGUUAUCAUCAAAUGACGUGACAUCUUUUAAGAGGCACGUUCAUGUGUCAUGUCAUGUCAUCCUUUGGUGUCACGUUGGAUAGUUCACCUGGCACUAAAAUUGACUUCACUAACGACGUUAUUUUAAAAUUUAACGAAAUGACUAUUUUGCAACACUUAUGCAAAGAUAGGGACUAUUUUAAAUUUAAUAUUAAGUUAGAGACUAAUAUACAAAAUGAGUACAAUCUCAAGGACUAAAUUACCUAUUCACUCUAUAAAUUUAUGUAUAAGUAGCAUCUCUAUAUUUAUUACUAACAUCAUGUUCAUCCGGGUGGAAAUGAAUUUCUUAAAUAAAAAUAUAUAUUUAAGGUUUUAUUUGACAAAAUUAAUCAUAAAAUUAGUUAAAAACUAAAAAAUUAAUUUAUUAAAUUAUAAAUAAAUGUUCGAUGAUCGAAAUAUCUAAAAAGUAUAAAAUAAUCAAAAAAUAAUUUAUUUUAAAAUGAUAAAUAAAAAAUUAAAUAUAUUAAAAAUAAAAAAAUAUUAAAAAACUUAUUUAUCAAUUAACCUAAUUGAACUUUUCAACUAAUAAAAAAAAUUUAAAAAUUAAUUAAAAUAUUUUACUGAAAAUAACCAAAUAAAUGAGAUUUUCCUCAAUAGAAUCAUCUCAGUUGGUAGAUAUUUUAUAUCUAUAAUAUGAUAAAAUGUUAUAUAUUUAUCAUUAAAUAAUUAAAAAAUUACUAAAGUUUAGACUUAUAAAAAUCUAUUUUUUUAAAAAGAUCUAAAAAUAAUUAUUGAAUACAUGAGUAAGUGAAAAUGAUAAAGAUUAUACAAAAAGUUGAUACUAAAUACUUUUCAUUUUUAAUUUGUAAUUAACUAAAUAUAAGUUUUAUAUUCUUCUGUCUCGCCAAUGCUCCCUUCUGCACUCACUGCCGGCCACAUGUCACACUGUUUGUUGCUGGCUGGUAGCAGCUAGCUGGUAAUUUCAUCUGCGCUCACCAAUCAUAGGGUUAGGAUAUCCAAUAACUUUAAUCCAAAUUUGUUGUUAUUUCAAAUUUUAUUAUUUGAAAAUUGUAAUUAUCAUAUUAAAAACAUUAUCUUAUUCAAUAACACAAUUCAAUAUAUACUAAAAAUGUAAAAAUGUAUAUAUAUAUAUAUAUAUAUAUAUAUAUAUAUAUAUAUAUAUAUAUAUAUAUAUAUAAUAUUAUAUUUUACACUAAGUUUUUUAACUAAUUAUUUUGUAUAUAUUUUUAAAAACUUUAAUGCCAAUUACACUAUUCGAAUUAGUAUCAAUAAAAUUAAAAUACUUUUAAUUGAACAUAUAAAAUUAAAUAAUUAAAAUAAAUAAUAUUCACACAUUUUUUCUUAGAAAUGUAAGAGUGAAAAUCAAUUAUAAGUUUUCAUUAAAAAAAUUAAAGAUGACAUAGUGAAUAUUGAAUCUAAUUGACUAAACGAACUGCUAAUUUUUGUCAAAAAUAACAAAUUUUAUUUCAAUUAGUUUAUAUGUUUGAUGAUAAUGAACCGACAAUUUAAACUAAACUAAAAAAAUUGAUUGAAUUAAUUGGCAAUUUUUUCUUCAAUUUCGAACAGGUCGUAGGCUUUGAUACUAUAUUGUUGGGAACUUUGAUGUGAUCGAUGUGAAACUAGCCAGGAACAAGAAAACCAUAAAGCAGCCAAUUUAGCGAUAACUAAUGCCAAUGGUAACAGAAAACUAAAAUAACUAAUAUCUUUAAAGAUUAAGACUUUUCUCAUGAACUGAGCAAUUAUUCUAUAAAAAAUGCAAUAAAUUCCUUCACCGACAAAUCAAUUAUUAUAUUUAAUUUGAGCCAGUGUUUCAAAAUUAGCCUUGAUAUGCAUAUUGCAACUUAUGUGCUAAAUAUUCUAUUAACAUUUAAAUAGUUAUAUCUUUAUAUUUUUUUUAUAUUGGUAAUUGUAUCUUUAUAUGGCAAACUACAUUGCUAUUCAAAUUGAAUAACAUUGGCAUGAAAUGUAUGAAUUAUAAUAUGGAUCGAUUGUUUUAAAUAUUAAAUUUAAAAAACUGAAAUUAUAAAAUAAGUUUUCGUGCACAAUGUGAUGUACGUAAUGAUUAGCAUUUUUCUAUGUAAUAAACGUUUAACGCAAAUAAACAUCAAAAUUGUGUGUGUGUAUAUAUGUGUGAGAGAGAGAUAAAUCAUAAUUUUAGUGAUAUUUUAUGAGAUUUUUUGUGUUAUUUUAUUGGUAGAAUUCAUGUUUUGACAUAAUUUUUAUCUUGUAGAAGUAGAAUUGCUUGAUCAAGUGAAAAAGUUAAAAAAUACACAAUCUCAUACAGAUAUGAUGUUAAUUUUAUUUGAUAACAAUUGGGGUACAUUGACAAAUAACAUGAUUAACUAGAAAAAUCAUGAUCAAUCAUGAGGACCAUCGUCAUUUCAAAACAUCUCAAAUUUUAGUUAGGAUAUUUUGAUAACGGUCGCGGUAGAUAUCAUCUUGACCAUAGUGAGUUUAAUUAAGAAAAUUAUCUUUAGGUGUUUAAUUAAAGUAAUUAUCUUUAGGAAUUUAAUCAAAAUAUUUAUCUAUAAUACACUUAAUUAAAGUAAUUAUUUUUAGAUAUCAUAUUAGAAUAUUUAUCUAUAAUGUGUCUAAUUAAAAUAAUUGUCUUUAGAGAUCAUAUUAUAAUACCUAUACAUAGUGUGCAUAAUUAAAGCAAUUAUCUUCAGGAAUCUAUGAAUAAGAAACUAGAGUCUUUACUUGGGGGAUUUGAAAUUCAUUAGACAUUUGACGAAUAACAAGAACUUUUGAGAGGAGAAUUGCACCAGCAACAAUUGGGGUCCGAAUCUGUAAAAAAAAAUUAUCUCUUUUAUUUCUAAUGUAUUAUUAUAUGAUGUUUAGUUAUUCUAUGAUCAUGAUUGGCUAAAUCCCUUAAAACUCAGAUUGUGAUGUAGUUAUACCUAUGUAUUUUAGUUCCUCUUUUUAAUAAUUUUUUAUGUUAUUCAGAUUGUAUCUAUCUAUUACUUUCACUUCUAUAUUGGAAUUGAUUACUCUGACUAUUAGUUAAUUGCGUAUUAGUGAUCAUCUUCUCGUAAUUAACUAACCUAUGGAAUGAUAGGAUUCAUAAAGCUUGCAUGAUCAAACUGGCACUAUAAAUUGUUUCUUACAAACUUCUUUGCUACUUAUCUUUAAUCCUAAAUUAAAUCCCAAAUGGUUGUAGGAUUGAUUUAGGGGGGGGGGGGGAGAGAGUAUCCUCAAACCCUUGACCAUGGGCUGAUUAUUAAAAUAAGAGGUAUUAAGAAUUAAAAUAAGAAUUAAGAAAAAAAUGGUACAUGUGAAAUCAUAAUCAAAGUUACUUUUAUUUAUAUAUAUCUCUUCCUUAAAAUUAUUGUCUGUCUUUAAUUUUAUUUUUUGAAUGCAAACAUAAACAAUCUCCAACUCAAGAUAAAAACUCAAAAUUAUUUAACUUAUGUGAUUUAAAUUAUUUGGGAACACAAAUAGUCUCUAGAAUACGAUAUCCAAACUUUUGAGUCCGUUGUUAUUAUUGCGUAGGAUACACUUAUCUUUAGUGAAUACAUAUUUUAUGCAUCAAUAUGUAAUAUAAUAUGAAAAAUCUGGAUAAAUUAUAAUUUUAGUUUCCCUAUACUUUUAUAUUUAUAAUUUUAGUGUAAUUCUCAAUUUUAAGUACGUUUUAUUUAUUUUUAUUUAAUCUAAUUGAACAAUGGGUGUAACACAUUCCUUUAAGAUACUGUUAAGAAAAAUAAAAUAAAAAUAUAAAAUAGUUUAACAUAUUCUCAAUUAGUGUGACUGAUUAUCCUAUUAGACUACAUUUCGCUUAUAAAGGGUAACAUGGUAACUUCUUGGAUGAUUGAGGGUACUUAGUGUGUCUUAGGUAAAAUGUGCAUCGAAUAUGGAAUAAAAUAAUACUAUUUUAUUCUAGAAUAUUCUAAAUGUUUUAGAAGACUAGUUGUGAUUAAUUUGGCUAAUCACAUUGACUUUCAUGAAAAGGUUGAUUGUCUUCUUGCAUAAAUUAGUAGAAUCUUUUACUAUUUGUUUUGUCACACAACUAAGUUUCAAUUGAAUUAAUAGUUGAAAAUUUUCCAGAAAAUCUAAUUAAUUAAACUUUAUAAUCUAAUUAACAUUUUAACUUAUAAAUGAUGCAAAUCAAGUUAAUCAUGAAGGUAGAAAAACUAAGUGUUACACAAGAUGAAUGGGAUGGAUAUCCAUGAUUGUCAUGUAUUCAUGGUAUUUUUACUCAACAGUGCUUUUCAUUAGUUAUCAAAAUGUGUAUGGAAACCACUUACUGAAUUGAGUAAUAACAUGUUUCGAUAGAUAUCAUAGUUGAUUUCGAGAUGCAAAAUCGUGGUGAAAAAUUGGAAAAAUAAAAAAAAAGUUGUACUUUGACUCUCAACGUGAUUUUGGAAUUGAUUAUAAAAAAAUUGAAUCUAAUCCAAAUUUUUGUUGCAAUACACUAAAGAUGAAUGACUUGGUUAGGUUAGAGCAAAACAUUCUCAUUAUCAUAUGCAAGUUUGAAAAGAUUUUUUUUUACCAAAUUUCUUUGACUCAGUGGAACAUCACCAAUUUACCUACCCAAUGAAACAAUCCUAGGCGCGGUUUGAUUCGAUAUCGACAAACAUAUACAUUUGAAAAAUAAUUGAGUUAUCCCUUUUAACUCUUAAUGGUCAUUAUAAUUUUUGAACUAAAGCUCAGAGUUGUAUUAUGAUCACUUUGCCUGCAAAUUUAUGGGAUCGACUCAACGUGGACAAUGAAGAAUAAGGCUUACAUUGUGAAACAAUCCCUUUCUUGCUCUCAUUAAUUAUUCCAAGAACUUCUGCUAUUAUCAACAAUAGAUUUUAAGAACUGUCUUAAUCGAGACACCAAGACUUCCUAUUAUGGAAGUUUAACUAAUGAAUAACUUAUUUGACGAAACAAUUAAUGAAUACGUGGGAAUAAACAAUUUAUUAUCCUUAUAACAAUUCAAUAGAGAAAGAUGGUCUAUCAAAAUAUGAACAAUGUUUCAAAAUAAUAUAGUGAUGAAGUUGAGGAAGAGAACAAUAAAAUGUUAUACUUAAAAACAUCCCAUAAACUAAAAUUAAUUCAAAUUGCACCUGGCAAGGUAUGGAUCUGAAUUAAAGACCUCACAAAAAAAAAAAAAGAUCUGAAUUAAAGAAAUCAAAGAAACAUAGUAAAACUCAAAACGAGUCGCACAAUUGCAUGUGAGCUGUAAAUGAGUAUAAUAUAAUUCCGUCUCGUACUAAUUUGUUCGCUAUAUAUUCUUGAUGACUGAAAUUUAAUUUCCCUCUUGAACUUUUGGAUAUAUAACAGCGAUCCCUAUUUUGUUUUAACUAAUAUACAUUUCUUCUUAAUUAAUCCUGAUAUAAGACCAAUGAAAAUUUAAUUUCCCUUUUGAACUGCUGGAUAUAUAACAUCGAUUGCUAUAUAUGUGUACAUGCAUUAACAAACUUCAUUUGUCUUAUAUCAGGAUUAAUUAAGAAGAGAUUGGUCACGAGUCACGAGUCACGAGCCUCUAUCAAUUUCUUAUUCUGGUUUUAGGCGUGCAAACUAAGGAUGAUUACAAAAAUUACCAUCCCACGCAAAAAUUUCAAAAAUAGAAUGGGAAGAGGAAAGAGCACGAACACACUCAGAGGUAAAAAGAAAAGGAUUGUUACAAGACGCGUCCAUUAGAAUAAUCCAAGCCACUAGUUGACAAUUUUUCAAAGUCACAUCUUUCACUUCUUGAUUCCCAAAAGUAUGAAUCUUUCCAGUUUUCCACCCUCUUUGUGGUUAUUUGAAUUUAUUUAUUAGUUAGCCAGAGUUCCGUAUUAGGUGUCAGUUUCUUAAUCCAAUACCCUACCACACACAGGCACACCCCCUAAUAAUGAUUUACACUCCAAAAAAAAAGUUAUAUAUAAAAUAUAUAGACACACAAACACUUUAUCUCUAAUUAAGUGAUAUAUAUAUAUAUAUAUAUAUAUAUAUAUAUAUAUAUAUAUAUAUAUAUAUAUAUAUAUAUAUAUAUAUAUAUAUAAAAUAUCACCGAAACAUGGCGUUCUAAUUGGCUUGUUUUUAAUAUACCAAAACUCUAGGUAGAUAUGAUAUAAAGAUAAUAUAUAUGUCUCACGUGGUGGAGGAUACAAUUAAACAUCAUUGAUGCGGCAGUAGCCAGAAGAAUUUCUGUCAUGCCACCACCACAGCACUCAGCACCGGCCGGGAUCACCGCAUGUUCUUUGAAUGCGUUUUAUUUUAUUUUUCUUCCUGAUGCUGUUUAUAUAGGUUUCAAAAUCGACCAUUUUAGCAUCCAACAAUUGUUGCGUGAUUAGAAAUGAUAGUAGGCUAUUAGGCUAUAUAUAAUCAAAACCAAGUAAUUAAAGCGAAAUAUAUAUAUAUGUGUUUGGAGAGUGACUAAAUUAAUCAAAACUAACAUUGCUGAUAUCAGUGAUUUAUAAACCACCUGAACGAUGUCCCCUCUUCCAUUAUGAUCAUAAUCAUAGCCGGAGCUAACCAUCAAAGUACGUGCGAAGUAGUUGUUAACUAAUUUUCACUAGAAAAAUCUAAUUAAUCAAUGAGUCUUUCUUUUUAAUUAUAUUUUUAUUUAUUUUGAACAUAAAAUCUUAUUUAAAGAGAUCAAAUUUAGUAUCAUUUGAAUUAAUAAUUUCUAUAUAUUUUGUGUUGUUCCUUGUAGUAUAGUAGGUGCAUGUCUUACAACAUGUACUUAGGUAUGUAAAGCCACAAAAUUUCCAGGUCCUUAUCCUACCUUAAUAAAUUGUAAGCGACUAGAAAUUUUAUGGCAGCAACUGUAAGUGUGUUUGGAUAAGCAUUUACAAGCUUAAUUCUGGUGAUUUUGUAAAUUAAUUCUAAUUAAAAGUGAAUUUGAAGUGAAAUAGGUCAGGUUGGAAACUUUUAUUUCAAAAUGCAAGUUUCAAGUAAAAGUACAAAAUUUUGAAGUACAAUGUUUAGGAGUAAAAUCAAUUCUAACUCAAAAACAAAACCAUAAUUUUCUUUACCCAAAAUCCCAUAUAUUCCUCCCAUCCAAACAAGAAACAAUAUUCUCCAAAGCAAAAUAACAUUAGUAUUCCAUAAAUUGGUGUCUAUGAACUGCAAUUUAUAAUUAGUAGGUGGGUUAUAAAUACUGCGGUGAAUUUUUGUACAGACUAGCUGGUGGUUAUAUCCAAACCUGGAAAUGUGCAACCUCCCUACCGUCAAACUUUAAGUUCAUAAAAAAAAUUAAAACUAAAAAUUCAUGCAAAACACUCUACACACAUUCGAUCAUUUGCCCUCAUCAUGAAUUUGGAGAAGGAUAUUCAACCUCGUGGGGGCCUGCCAUAGUCUCAAUUAUGGGUGUCAAUGACAUCAGAUCAGAGAGGGAAAAAAGAAAGAAAAGGGUGGUUAUGGAUUGAGGAAAUUAAAAAUAGAUUCAACUUUGGGACGGUAAAUAUGCAAUAGAAGUAUAUAGUUUGAUCUUAGUGGGGACAUGGUUGGACUCAGCAGUCAGCUGGAGCUUUGUCCUAUUGUUCAUCUGCAUGGAACCAAAUUCUGCACUUGAAGCUUAUCACAGACUAAAAGUAGGGAGACUUCUUAGGCUUUUAGGGUUGCCACUGAGACUAAGACUACUGGGGACAAAGCUAGCUAGGGUUGAAUUUGAAUUGAAUUGAAUGACCUUAUUUUUGCAGUGGCAGUCUCCCACGGGUCACACUCUCACUCAGCACCAUUUGCUUUUUUUCUGCAUAAUGGACAUCUUUUUUUUCUAAAUUAAGUUCAAGAUUGAGGGAAAUAUAUACAGCCAAUGGAAAACGUCAUGUUAUGUGUAAAAGCCACAUAAAAUAAUAAUGGAUACAUGAUGGAUCUUAUAAUAUUUUCAGUGUAUGAUGAUGGUUUAUAUCAUUGCAAUUCUCUCUCCUAUUUUUGCCUUUUGUUUAUAUACAUAUAUAUGUUGUUUGUAAUUAUUUAAUGAUGAUGAUGAUGUCAUUGUUGUAGUAUAAAAAAAAUGAUGACUCUUGUUGGUUGCACAUGUAUAAAGCAGAGACAGCCUUGAGCUAUGUAAGGUCUAUUCAACUACUCAUCAUAUUUGGUACUGCUGUAUAUAAAUGUUAUCAGCUGAAGACAAUUAGAGAGGCCCAAAGAGCCACAGCAAUACUAUAAUAAUCUGCAUGGAAACUUAAUGUUUGAACAUGCUUGGCAUUUUGGAUUAUAAAUAAAGAUGCUUAGUAUUUCAAGUUUUGAUGUUAUAGUUCAGGGCUCAGUGGCCAGAGAAAUCAUUCAGCAGGGGUACCAUAUGUAUGCAAUGUCCCUAUUGUUAUACUAUUCAUCUAAUUCUCUUUCGUCACUAAGUUGUACCAUCUCCCUCUCUAUAGCAUGCGAAGGGGUCCAUACGCCACAACUCAUCUAAUUGGUUCAUCUUAGAUCUGCAGAGAUGCCACAUAUAUACAGAUGUGGUAAAGUCAGAUAUACGAUAAUAUACUCAGAACUCGGAAUCUAUUAUGCUCACAAAUGGAAGUAGAAUUGAUGUAUUUUGAUGAAGGUAAUUUUUUCUUUCUUUCUUUUUGAUGUAGCUACAAUUGUUGUUCUUAAAAUAAUAGAGUAAAACUUAAAAAAAAUAGUCUAAUUAAUUCUGAGAGAAUCAUGCAUGCCCAUGAGCAAACACAAAGUUCCUGCAUUUUGAUGCAACAGCUAGGUUCAGAAAUUCUGAUGCACUAGGUAUAGUAUGUGCCUAGGUCAUAGUUAUCUUACAGGCACAUACCAAUUUUAUGUAUAUAAUUGUCUUUUCAAUAAAAUCUUAUUAGCCAUGUAUGUAGUACGAAACGACGUACUCAUAUUUUAUUGUAUAAGUAUUAUAUAAAAAAGUGUUUGACCAACAUUAAUUAAGUAGGUUUAUGUAUUUUGUUGUCUAAAAAUCCGUACGCAAAAUUCACACGAAUGAGGAUUUCUUUGAACUUCAUUUUUCUUUUUUCGGUUUCCAAAAUCUAACUAUUCAUGUUGGAAUUGAAUCUUUUGUGAAUUAUAUUUUUUUCAUUCACAGAAUUAGUAAAAUUUUCCUUGUGAAUUAUAUUCUUUUCAUUUAUAGGUUUAUGCUGUUAGCCUACACUUACCUAAAGCAUAAAAAUUAUGAUGAUAAAAUUAUGUAAACUACUAACCUCGAACCUCAGUCAACAAAAAUACUAUAGUAAAUAUGCUAUAUCUCAAUUUUUAUUAUAAUAUUAUAUCAAAUAUUAUAACCUCGGGUUGGGCAGAAACCUAAAAGGAAGAAGGUGAAAACUACAAGUUCUCGGGUACCAGCACCACAGAAACAUUAGCAAGAAUCAAAGGCGACAAGAAGUGGAGCAUAUCUACUAGCACAUGGGAAUCUCCAAUUGCAGAGUAUGAUUGGCUAAACAGUCAGCACAGACAUUCUCCAUUAAAAUGUAUGAUGCACUCCCAACAUCCAAUCUUAAUUGAUCCCGUCAUAAUUUCACCGGUUUCAAUAGCAGCACAUAAGGGGUCAAAAUCUUAAUUUGAUUUGGUUUUGUGAAAUACAUGUUUGGACUCAGUGGUGGAUCCAAGAUCUUAAGUGGGUACAAAUUAUAAAAAAAUAAAAUUAGGGAAGUUAAUUAUAUAAAUAUAAAUAAAAUAAAAUAUAAAAAUAUAAGAUUUUAUUUAUAAAUUUAAUGAAUUUUAAAAAAUGAGAGGUGUAAGUACACACCUUCAUAUCAAUGUAGGUCCGUCACUGUUCGGACUCAUCAUUAAAAAAAUGUGAUUUGGAUUUGAAUGAUUUACAACUCAAAUUACAUAUUAGGAACUAUUAGAAGUUUGAUGGAGCACUUUAAUUAAUAGACUAAUGAUGAUUAGGCGAGUUAAAAGAAUUAAAAGAGACUAUUUUCAUUCAAAACCUUAAAAUAUCGGGUAUCUGAGUUACAUUUUUACAUCUCUUAUAUAUUUUUCAUCGAGUGGUUUUCUUUAAUGUUGCCAUUAACAAGACACGUUAUCUAGCCAACAUUAAUACUUUUGAUAUAUUUAGGAUCUUGCUCCCCCUCAGGUCUAACUAAACUUUGAUAUAUAAUAUAUUUGCUAAGGAAUCCGAAAAAAUAACAAGAAUUAAUGGGCUAAUGACUAUAACUUAAUCGAAAACCACAAUUCCACCUAAAACUAUAAGGCAUUAAGUAUAUGGGUCACAUCUCUUAUAUAUUAAUUUAUUGAACUAUUUCCCAGCUAUGUAAGACUAAUUAACCACUCACACUUAAGUUUAUGAUAUAUAGUGAUCCCUUCCCUUAAAUUCGAGUCUCCACGGUUUUAUGCUUUUUUAGCGGCAUAUGCUCUUGCUCUCCUAGGCCUAACCAAGAUCUAAUAAUACAACUUAAUUGUCUAUGAGUUCGGAAAACAUUAAGAAGGGUUAAUGUGCUAAUAACAAAGACUACCAAUAGAACCAAACACCGCAUCUCCAUCAAAAAUCUUAAGGCGGGCAUUUAAUAUAUGAUCAUAUAUCUUAUAUAUAAUUCAUUAAGUUGUUUUCUUUAGUAUGGUGGUUCACAAAUGAUAAAAAGACAAAAUGUCUAACAAAUCUUACCAUUAGGAAGACUUUUAAUACAGUAUUAUAUUCUCUAUUAUAACACUCCUUAGUUUGUUUAAAAGUUAUUAUUAGGAGUGAUAAAAUGCAUCAAUCCCUCAUUGGUCUGUUAAAAAUAAAUUGGAGCAGUUUGAUCCACAUUGUAAAAGUGGGUCAAAAGUUUCACCUCACCUUAUACUCGGAUCCGGCAAGUUGGUGAGCUUGCCAAAACAAAAUAACAACGGAUUGUAGGUUGGUAGGUCAAUCUGUUAAAAAGUAAAAAUUAUUAUAUAUAUAUAUAUAUAUAUAUAUAUAUAUAUAUAUAUAUAUAUAUAUAUAUAUAUAUUAAUUUACCAAUAAGAGAUAUUCAAUAAUAAUUAUUUGGUGAAAAAAUUAUAUGCAUUAUCUUAAAUUUUAAAUAAUAAUUUAUUUUUAAAAAAAAUAAUAAAAUGAACAUCAAUAAUGCUUGCACAUAAUAAAAUAUAUUAAUAAUAUUUUUUAAAAAAAAGUUAGUAAUAUGUCAAGCGAGUCUAGACUCUUCCUCAACCCAUUUUCUAACGAUUCAAACGCGUUGAAUAAAAGCAGGUUGGUGAGUUGAAAAUUUGAGCCUAUCUCACCAAAAAAGGGCCAAAUGGGAAGAUGUAGUGAGUCAAACCCAUUUUGUCACCUUAGUAACUUUUUGUGUGUGUGUGUGUGAUUCUUUAAUAACUCUAAAACCACUUGUUUGAGAAUCUAAAGGAACACAGUUAAUAUAAAUAAUAAACAAGAAACCCUUUGAAUUAAUUAGUACCAAUGUACCAUAGCUUGCAACUCUCAUGUCGAAAUGAGAAUGGAGAAACUGAUCGAGUUCUGGAUAGAUAGAUAUAUAUUGUGGCAAAAGAUAAGUGAGAUAAUAUAUAAAUAUAUAUUGACCUAGUUAUUGUACUUAGCAGUAAAAAUUGAGGGGAGAUGGGCAGAAUGAAAGUAUUGUGAGGAAAAAAGCAAAAGAGAAGAAGUGUAGUAAAGGAGUGUGCUAAAUAAGAUGUAGUGAUUUUGGAAGUAAAAAGGCUGUGAAUGAAUGAAUCCACUCCCAAGCGUGUGGCAGCAGUCUGAGCAGAACAAGAGGGGCUACCUAGCUUAGCUUAGCUACAUUUACAUACUCAUAAUAAUAAUUUGAUUAUUUAGAAUAUUUUGAUUCAUGAUAUAUAAUUGAAUACUUUGGUCCCACGCGAGCUAUCCUCCAAAUCAACACAUGGCCAUGCCAUUCUUUACAAUAAUAUGAAUAAACUGUCAAUUUUUUAUGCUUGACAAGUCAGGUGCACGAGCACCCGCGGCAUCUAAUGAUAUGUAGUGGUACGGAUCCCUACCAUCGUAUCAAUCUAUUUUAAAUUAUUAUUGUUAUAUCGUAAUAUACAUAUAUUUACUUUUAGUCCUUCACAAUUAACUAACUCAAAUCAUAUUUCUAUACGUCCAACUAAAAUAGGAUUAUAUGUAAUCAAAUAGUAAUUGUUUGUAUUUUAAAUUUUACAUUAUACAUUAAAUAAAAUAACAUGAUAAAAUAUUUAUUAUUUUUUUAGUAUAUGAAAUUUUAUAAUCUUAAUCUAUUUUAUAAAAACUUUAGACUAACCGCUGAAUUGGUGAUUUUUUUUUAUAAUAUAAAUUAUUGAAAGUGGCAUGCAUGUUUCUAUAAAUUUAACUCUUAUGUGAUUUUUUUUAAGAGAACUUCAAAUUUAUUGAGUUGAAAAACAAAAACUAGGCCUCAAGUUUAUGUUGUUGAUUUUUUAGUUUUUACGUAUAGGUUUAUUUUUUUUUAGUUUAAAUUAUUUGAUAAUAAAUUUUACUAUAUUAUAUGUACUUACUUUAUUAGUGAAUUACAUAAUUUAAAAAUAUGUAUAUACAUGAAUAUUGUUAUAAGAAAAUUUUCAAAAUUAUUUUUAUAUUCAAUUUGAUAUCAAGAUAGUGAUUGAAUGAUUGACCAUAGGAUGAGAUAUUAGAAUUACUUUAUUAUUAAAUCUUAAUUAAAAAGAAUAAAAUGUAAUUUUAAUCACCUUAUUUUUUUAUUAAGAUAUUUUCUCUUUUAUUUUAGUAUGUCAUUUUUUUUAUUUGAGAAAUUUGGUCUCCAAUUAUAAAAAAUUCAUAAUUUUAGUUAUCAUGACAAAAUUUUAAAAAGUGUGUAAUCUUUUAAUAUUUUUUUUAUACAAAUUAAGGUUAUUACUAAUUAAAUAACUAAGAAAAAACAUGUCACAUUACUAAUAAACAAGCACAAGCACGUGUCAAGUCAUUUAACGGUAAUAAAAUAUCAUUAACAUUUGAAAUUGAGUAUAAGAACUAUAAUCAUAAAUUUCUUAAGAAUGAAAAAAAAAAAUCUUAAUCAAAAAAUAAAAAAUUAAAAUUGUGAAAUUUUAAAAAAUGAAAUACAAAAUGAUUCAAUUAAAAAAUAAUAAGGGACUAAGUUGGGAUAUUUAAAAAAAUUAAAAGACAAAAAGUACAUUUAAAAAAUAUAAAUGUGUAAAUUAUAUUAUAAUAGACUCUAACAUAAAAUUUGGCUGACAAUUAUAUUGCUGUAAUGCUGUCAUAGUCACCCAAGAAAGGAUUUCAGGAUUUGCAUUGGUGAGGAUAAUGAAAUUAAAUUAAAGAGGAAAAGAUUGAAAUGAAAAAAAAAAAAGCACGCGCAGACACACGGGAGACAGUUAAUAUCACGUGGGCUGAGUGGGGUCUUACAGGUUCAUCACGUGGCAGACCUAAUCUAGACCAUAGUGGGGCUGAGGGAGGAGCGCGUGGUGAAUGAAUGGUGAUGGGAGUGGGACCAUGCUAAGGAACGUGUAAGUAGGAGCAUGUGAUAAUUUCCCAAAGGGAAAGAGGAAUAAAUAAUAAAGGUGUAGGAGUACGUUAGAACGGGACGGGGUUGAUAGAGAGAGAUGGAGAGGUGGGAUUGUCUGUUUCCGUAUCAAGUCGCCUUCAUGGGGUCACUGCCUCAGUUUAACAGCCUGUUCGACUUCCUCUCCACAUGCAUCAACGUAAAUAAUAUUUCCAUUUCAAAUAAAUACAUUAAUUAUGUAAUGUAAAGCCCGUUACUUAUUAUUAAUUCAUUAAGUUUAUACAAAUAUAAAAUUAUUUCCAUCCACACUUGAUUUAGUUUCAUUCUUGUCUAUUUAUACAUUUUUUUUACUGGUUAGAAUUUUCAAAUGAAAUUUUUUAAGGUAUCAUUCUCAACAUGUUUAGGGUGGACGGCCGCUCAAGGUAAUAUAAUAGAAUAUCUAUUUCAAUUAUUAAUUUUAUAAUCACUUACAAUUUUAUUUUUAUACAUUUUAUGUUUUUAUAGUUUUAUUUUUUUAAUUAAUUUUAAACUCUUGUAUUUUUUCAUUUAUAGAUGAAUGAUUUUAAUUACUUUUUAGUUUCAAUUUUUUUUUUUCAUAUUAUGUAUUAUACUAUUCGUCUUUUUUUUUUGGUAAAUAUAUUAUACUAUUAAUCUUAUAUUAUAUCUUAAAAUAUUUUCAAUCAAAAUUAAAAUAAAGUAAAAAUAGUAUACAACGUACUUUCACUGUAUUAACUAGUGCAAUAGUUAAAAUAUUUUGAACUAUAAUGUUAAAUACAACAUAAAAAAUAAUCUAAAUAAUUAUUUAAUGGUCAAUAAAUGGUGUAAUACCAAAAUAUUGCACAGAUAAUAAUAAUAAUAAAAAUAAUUAUUAUCUAUCAUUAUUAAUUAAUAUCUUGUAUAAUAAAAGGAUAUAAAUAAUAAAAUUCUAUCUUAUUUAAAGAGAAACAAGAGAAAAAAAAAAUAGAGUCAUUAGAGAAAUUACUUAUUCAUUAUUACCUUGUGAGUGGAAAAAGAGAAACAAAAAAUAGAGUCAUUAGAGAAAUUAUAAAAAUUGAACCAAAAUCAAGUUUGAGAUAUUGAAUUCUUCAAAGAUAUUUAAUUAUUUUCUUAAUGAAUAUUGCGCAACUUAUAAAAAAAUAUUAAUUGUCUUUGUUAUUGAUUUAUUGAGAGAAUAUUUUGAAAUUAAAAUUUGUUGAAAAUUUAUUUAUGAUUUACUAUGUCACAAGGUAAUUAAAAAAUCUUCUUUUAAUUUCUAUCAUUUUUUUAAAGAACCUUAAUCAUGAACAAAUUAUUUAUGAUUUUGAUUUUUUUAAGAGAAACAAUAUUCAAAAUAAUUAUGAGAGCUCCAUUUUCUCAAUUCGCACAAAACACCAAAAAUCUCAAGUCGACCCCUAAGCUAAAUUAAACGAUUCUGGCUUUUGUAAAAAGAAAAAAAGAAGAAGAAGAAGAAGAAAACAUUGAUAAAGCUAAAUUUCACACUUGAUAACCCUUUUGGAGUAUUUGGAUCGUGAGGCAAGGUUUUCAUAUAUAUAUAAAAAAUAAGAAGAAAAUGAUAAAGAUCUGUUUUGAAAAAAAUGAUAAAGAUAUUAAACAAAUGUGUGAUUUUGUUCAUAUUCUUUUUUUAAAAUCAUAAAAUGUCAAAAUAAAAUUAGGACAAAUCAUAUUCAUAUUGUAAAACUAACUCAAGAACAAUCCCUACCUUGUGAAAUAUAUUCAUUUUUGUUUCAAAAUUUUGAUUCCAAUGUGUUAUAGUUACAGAACAAAGUUACAUUAUUAUUUAAUUAUGUACUGUCAUGUUAUUUAAUAAUUUAGUCUAAUCUAAUGAUUUGCAUUAUCAUACUUAUUAUGAGUUAUCAAUAUAUAAAAGUAGAGAUAAUGGAUAAAAAUUAAAUUAUUAAUUUUAUAUAAACAUACGUUUUUUUAUUUUUCACAAGAUAAAGACACACAUAAUUUUCAAUAUUAGUUAAUUAAUAUUGAAGGGGAAAAAAGGAACUAAUGAAGGAAGCUUGCAAUGCAGUUGCAAACUUUUUUCUUUGGCUAUUGCUUUGGUGGAAUUACUAUUCCCUUAAUCGUAUGAUUGGGGAUUUGAUUUCCAAAUCUAUGUAUAUGAAAAAGUAUUAUAUGAAAGAUACUUACUUCUUUAAUAGAUUUUAUGUUUCUCGAGAAAUUAGUUAUUAAUCUCUAAUAAAGAUAUAUUUAAGUUUUUUUAUUUAUAAAAAAAUACUACUGUGGGCACCACUUGAAAAGUUAGAAUCAAAUCAUAACUCCUUUAGAAGUGGAGCAUAAGCAGAAUAGUAAUAAAGCCCCAACCACUGGUGUUCUUGGGCUCCUACCUCAAGUACCUCCUGGAAGGACUUCUUCCCACACUUUCCUGCAUGUGAUAACGAAUAUAUAGGAAUAGUGGACCAACCUCUUCUGUUUUCUUUCUUCUUCUUUCAUUUUCACUUCUCUCUGGCUUCAAUCUCUAUUGUUUUCCAAAAAUAAAAAUCACAAUUUUCGCUGUGUGAAAUUAUAAAUAAUAUUCUAGUGGGAUGCUUUUAUUUUGGAUUUAACAAUUCGAUACAUCCAAAAGUUGAUAGUGAUACUUAUAAACUGAAAUCUCUCUUCCAAUUUUUUUUCAUCCCAGUCAAUUGUGGUAAAUUUAGUAAGUAGCCUUGGUGCCAAUUUUUAGGCUUAAACUAAAAGAAUUAAAAUGAAGACUAAGGCAGAACUCAGGCGCGUGAUGGAUGAAAAUUUCUCUCAGGAGCCAGGAGGUUAGGCAUCAAAAUAGAUGAUCCACUCGUUGUCUCAUGCAAAUUGCAAUUGAAUGGCCCAACUAAAGUCCUAAUAUUUUUGGGCUUUCUAAAAGAUUAAUUUCGAAUAACAUUUCUAAGAUCAAACCAGUAUAAUAUUUAAUUCAUGAAUUCCUGGCCCGGGUUGAUGUUAUUUUAAGGUAAAUUAUUAAAUUAUUAUUUAAAUAAGAAAUAAAUUCUAUCAUUUCGAAAUAACACAGAAAAGAAGUAACACAUACAACUUUAAAACGUUGAACUAUUUUAAUUAUAGUUAUCUCUUUAUUAUUUUGAUUCCUUUUUUCUAUACCAAUACUGAUGUGUUUUUAAUCAUAAAAAAGGGAUAAACUAUGGAUUAAUUUUUGUCUACUAAUUAGCGUAAAAAGUUUUAAAAGUAUCACUCACCAUGUUCUUUUUUUAGAGGAAUUUCUCACAGUAAUAUUUUUAUCAUUUGUCAAAAGAUAAUGGAAUAAUAUUGUAAAUAAUUUAAAUUAAUCGUGAACCAAGGCUAAAAUUUACAAUUUUUUAUGCUCAUAAUUGAAUUUUUUGAAAAAAAUUAAAUAAUUUUUAAUAAAAUAAUUAAUAGUAACAAAUUUUAAUGAUAAAUUUUAAAAAUUAAUGUACCAUUUUUUUUAUGAGGGAUUGGACACAAAAUGCAUCAGGAGUCGUCGAGGCCUAAGUAUUUUAUUUUUGGUCCGUCCAUUGGACCUAAAUAAAUGGCCGAGUUAAAUGCCGUAGCCCGUAAGAGGCUUCACUGGCUUGGAGCCCAUAAAAUCUACAGGUCAUGCCCAAACAAUGAAAAGCAAAAUAACAGAAGUGAAGAAUUAAAGAAAAAAUGCAACAAAAACAGCAGUUUAUGUAGUUUCAAGUAAUUUUUCAUUACUCAGACUUUUCACUACUAACUAAAUUACUCAGAGCUAUGAAGAAUUUAUGUAGUUUCAAGUAAUUUUUCAUUAAAUGGAAGCAUCGUUGUUUCCUUUCUCACCAUUUUCUUUCAAGAGACCAUUUCUUUAGUCUCUUCUGUUCGAUUUUUCACAGGAAAACGUGCAAUCACAUUCAUCGCGUUAAGACUGAAACCUCCACAGCUCCAUCGACAGUUACCGGAGAUGAAAUCCACUGCGAGCACCAAAUUAACUAGAAUGAAUGAUGCAAAUUAUUAGUGAUAACUUUGCUUGCAUUGAUAAUUAAUUAAAGCUAAAACAAACAAAAGUCAGAGGUGCUAGCUAGUGUGCUACCAUGUUGUUCACUUUUAAAGAGUCAAUUUUAAUUGCUCUUAAUAUGACGACUAAUUGGUAUAUGAGUUCAUGCUAUGGAGGAGUUUGGAAACAACCAACCUCUUCAAUAACUCUAUCCUGUGAAUGGAACUCUAUUAUUUCAAUUUUUCUAAUCCACUCCAAUUUCGAGAAUAAAAAUUAGGAUUUAAAAUGAUAAAGAAUGGUUCCUUUUGUAUUUCAUUUCACUUUUGUAUUUUUAAAAGAAAGAAAUUUAGAUCAAAAUCUUUUAUAUUUUAAUUUUAUUAUUUAAAUAUCAAAUAACUGAUACUGCAUGUGAUACCAUAUGUAAUUGUUUUUAUUUUUAUUUUUUUAUAUACAUUCCUAUUAAAAAUGCUUCCAAAAAAUUAAAGGAGACAACUUUUGUUAAUUUGUCCUAUUUUGUUAAACACAAAAUAUUUGCCUCUGUAUUAAAGUUAUCUACAUCACCUGUCACGCGGGACAAGUAUAUCUACAACUUUGGGUAAGGUAGUGAAUCAAAUUCCUUAGGUAAUUAUCUGUUUAAAAAAUCAAUCUGACCCCAAACACGCUUAACUUGUGUGAGUAUAUAUAUAGAAUAUAGUUGUUACCAAUUUUCUUUGUUACCCAUUUUCUUUAAUCGUGAAACAUAUUUCUAACAUGCAUGUAAGAAUAUAUACGAACAAUUAAUUAAUUUUUUUCUCGUACAGUUAUGCGUUUCUCUAAUUUAAAAGACCAAUUGGGAUACCAAUAAUUCAGAAAUGUUUUUUUUUUAAAAGGAAAAUAAUUCAGAAAUGUUAACAUAUUGAAAAAGUAAAUGCAAGCUCUGGGAAAUUCCGGUUGUAUAAGGAGGUGUGUGUUGUGAAACCAUGAUUGGAGUGAGUGUGUGGAGAAGCAGAAAGAGCAAUAAAUCGAUUCUCUUAUUCUAUCACAUGACUGGGUGGGAGAAAGUAGACAUCAUUUCCUUAUUACAUGAGAGCACUUGUGGCAACUGUUUGUGCACACAUCUUAUUACACUCACUACUGAAUGGAUAACUUAAUGAAAAAGCAACGAAGACCAUGACUUUAAUUAGCUUCUGAUUUGGAAAAGAAUGACACUUGAAUUGAAUUUCACUUUGGAAAGGAAGACCAUCUGAUGUUACGACGUUGCUAUAUAUUUAAAAUGUUCUUAAUUAGGGUGUGAGCCCGUUAGUUCAGCAAAUAAAAUGUUAAUUAUGUGUUAUAAUGUAUAUGUUUAUUAAAUCUUAAUUACUGUUAUACUCCUAUAUAAGUAAAAUUGUUUUGUGGGAUCAAAAAGAGAAUCAUUACCUAAACUACUUAACUUCUUUUGCACUUUAAAAAUUGAAAUAUCUUUUUCUUUAUAGUCCCACAGGUAUUUUUUAUUGAAUGAAAUCUAGACUGAAAAUUACUCUUUUGAUUAAACUAGUGUAUAUUUCGCAUUAACAAUAUAGUGGCAAAAAUAUUUCUGAUCCAGUCAUAGAAUUCUUAUUAGAGAUAAUGUUUUUUUAAUAAUCUAAUGUAAUUAUAUAUAUAAUUUGAACUUAAUAUUACUAUUUAAAUAAAAAUAAUCUAUAUGGUGAAAUUUUUUAGUCUUUAUAAUAUUACCCCUUUUUUUUAAGAGAUUUACAAUAUUGAUCAGGUCACUUUAAAUUCCAACUUUCACAAAAUUGUGAUAUUUUUGUUAAAUUAUAAAAUUAUCAUUUUAAUCCUUAAUUUUAUAAAAUGAUAAUUAAUAAUAUUUUUGAAUGUAAGAAAUCAAGCAAUAAUAUUUUAUAAAAUCAAUGCUAAUUAAUUAGCUUGAUACUUAUAAAAGAGAAAGAAAAUGUGAAAUAAAAUUGCUGAUCUGAUACUCUAUGAAUAUAACUCAAGUUGAGAACAAGUUUGUGGUGGUUUUUUGUUUUUAUUUUCUAUAACAAACAAAACCAUUAAAAGCAGACAAAGUUUCUAUGCUCUCUGGCUCCUAGGUUCUAAUAACAAGGUUACUUGCUCCUAGCUCUUCCUGGUUCUCUUCUUCCUUAUCCCUUAAUAUACCCUCUCUGUCGUUUGCAAUAUCGAAUCCAACAAAAUACAUGGAUCUAUCUACACUGUUGCUAGCUGUUCUCUUCAUCGCAGGCCUCAUUAAUAUUUUCUUUUACGUACCCACCACCAAGAUUGGUGCGUGGCUUCAAACUUUCUUAUUCCCCAACAACAAUGCUUGCAACAAAACCAAAACCAACUUAGUUCCUUCUUCCUCUUCUUCACCAACGACCAAGGUGGAGAGUACUGGUUCCCAAAAGAAGAAGGAAGAGCUUAGAAAAGUGUUCUCCACUUUCGACAAAAACGGCGACGGAUUCAUAACGAAGCAGGAGCUGAGGGAGUCCCUGAGGAACAUCAGAAUCUUCAUGACAGAACAAGAGGUCGAUGAUAUUGUUGUCAAGUACGAUUCCAACGGGGACGGGUUGAUCGAUUUUGAAGAGUUUUGCUUGUUGACUAGUGAGUGUGUAGGAGUGGAUCAUGAGAAAGAGGGUGAUGGUGUUAUUGAAAAUGAAGAGGUUGAUUUGAAGGAGGCUUUUGAUGUGUUUGAUAAAGAUAAUGAUGGGCUUAUUUCGGUGGAGGAGUUGGCUUUGGUGCUUACUUCGUUGGGACUAAGGGAAGGGAGAAAGAUUGAAGAGUGCAAAGAGAUGAUUAAGAAGGUUGAUAUGGAUGGAGAUGGCAUGGUCAAUUUUAACGAGUUCAAGAGAAUGAUGAUGAAUGGAGGAAAGUUUUUCUUUAACGCAUAAUCCACUACAGGUUCUCUUUAAUUUCUUCUUCAAUUCAGAUCCGCCAUCACUAUUAACACCGAAAAUUCAUCACUCACUUGAAAUUGUGUGUGUGUAUAUGAAUAUGAUGCCCACAUCAUAAUCAUGUAUACGUUUUACAUGGAAUGAAAUACUGUUAUGAAUUCUGAUUUAGUAAGUGUAGAUUCUUAGUUAAUUUUCCAUGUUUCUCUGUAACAUAUGGCUAUUGUUGUGAUCCAUUAAUUCUUUGUCUUUUUGGCAAGGAAUUUAUUUUCUUUAAUUUGUGUCUGUGUAUAUAUAUAUAUAUAUACUUGCACCAAUAACUAUACAACAACUCCGCCUACAGUUGCGCUUUGCAGCACAAGAAAGUCUUGAAUUUCCAGCCUGUUCUCUUUUCUCCAUGAAAUUGGGAAAAGUAAAUUAUGGAUGUAUGCACUUUUAUUUUAUAUAACAAUGAUGUUGCUUAUGCUGCCUCAUAGGACGAAACUUACGAAGUUAAUUAUGAAGAUUAAUUUCCACGAGGGAGACUAUUUUAAGCGAAAACUAAAAGCUAGCUAAUGUCAUUGGAUUCUGAAAUCCAAUCAAGAAAAAUAUUACUUCUUUCAACUCUUCAAGAUCACCCUCAACGAUGGAUGUGGAUGUCUUCCGAUAUCCUAAUUUCUAAUGAUAUUCACCAUAUAUAGCUAAUUAAUAAUUUAAUUUGGUAGAACUUGUAAAUCCUUUGUUUGUUUCAACUUUCAAAUAAGCCUGCUACGUUUUCUAUUUAAUCAUGCUUUAAGUCUAUCUCUUUUUAAAAUAUUUUCCCAUUUUUGAAAUGAUAUUAUGUUGUUGUUAAUAGCGUUUUGAUCACAGCUAAACUAUAAAGUUUUAAAUCAGUACUUUAAUUAUUUCAAUAAUCGGCCUGAUUUUAAAGUUGUUUUAAACAUUACGUAAAAUAUGCUUUAUAAUUUAAUUUAGUUUAAUUCAAGAAAUACACCUUACAAGAUAAAAUAUGAUUUUAAUCAUUAACUAAUAACUUUACGGUUAAUUUUAUUUUAUAGUUUGUUAGAACAUCUAAAAUGCAUAAUUAUUUAGAUGAAUUAUUUAUCAUAAUUUUGUGAAACCUUAUAAUUCCACAUAAAUUUAAAUACUCUACACGAAAUUCACUUCAAUAUUAAAAUUAUUGAAAUGAGUGAUUAACUUAAUUAUAUGAAUCCUAUAAUGGUUGAAAAAUAUUCUAUUUAUAAUAUAAAUUUGUUAAACAAUGUCACGUCAUCUACUCUAAUGAAAAAAAUGUUAAACAACAAGAUUGUUUUGAGUUAAGCAAUUCAUAUAAACACUCCUAUGAGUCAAUAUAAUUGAUCUAAUCUCAAUCAUUUAUUUUUUUAAUAUCAUUGAUAAUUAUGCUUUAUUUUUUAAAGUAUAACAUUCACGUAAUGUGUGGGGUUGCUUGUUUGUUUUUCCAGCUCUUCAAAGUGCAUCUAGGAAAAGUAUAAUGUAUUAAUAAAGAAUCACGCUUGUUUUUUACAUGCUGCAUUAUAAAUAAUAUUUUCUUUUAUUAUUAUGUUUUGUAGAAACAAAACAAGACAAAUUUGUUUGCUAAUUUAAUUGAAUUCUUACUAAACAAAUAUUCCGGCAGACUUCAACACUAAAAUAACAUAUAACUCCUUGACCCAUGGACUAUAACAGGUAAGUGGACGAAUGCAACAUGAAUGUAAUUUAUUUUUUUUCUCAAAUAUGAUAUUAAUACUAAGUUAUCUCAUAAUAAUAAUAAUAAAUCUUUAUGAAAAAUCAUAAACACAUAUAAAAUAAAUAUUUAUCUCCCAAUAUAUUUCAUACCUAAUAAUCAAUCAAAAUUUGAGUUCUGAACUGUUUAAUUAAAAGACACAACCGUUAUCAUUUGUUUGAAUUGCUAUUGGUAUGGACGAAUGUAAUAUACUUCAUAACACAUUUUUUUCAUGACACUAUUAUAUUAUCCAUAGGGAUCCACUUAUUUGGGGUCAUGAGGUUAGACUCACUCCCUGGUCAUUAGUCACAUUCUCAAUUUAUUAUUGUAUUUGAAUUUGAAUUAAUAAUAAAGAGUAUGUUUAGAGUAAUAAAAAAAAGUAUUUCAUUUUUUUACCUUUUCAUUUAACUUUUUUUUUUUUUUACCUUUUUCUCACACCAGUUUGGCUCCCGUAUAGUAAAAGUCAUGCAAUAUUUAAUGCGAUUAAUAAUUUAUCAAUCUAUAUAAAUAAAUAAUCAUAUUUAUAUGAGCUAAUAAAUAACUUACCUUUCUAUAUAAAAAAAAAAAGUUUACACAAUACUACAAGAUUUUACUACAGAAGAAUCCAUACUCACAGACUAUCUAAGCACCCAAUUUUUAUUAGAGUCCAAACCCACCAUCUUACAUAAGGGCAACUCAUCAUGGAAUGGCUGCAAAAAUGACAGAUUCACUCUUCGCAUCAGGUGGCAACUCUUCUGUCUCAGCACAAACAUGAUCGAUCGUUACGCAUUUGAGUUGCUAGAAGCUUGUCAAAAACGAUGGUGGCAGCAGAAAACAACAGUAAUAGACAGUUAGACAAAAUCCCAGAUCAUCCAGGGGCUUACAUGAGGCAUGCCAAAUAAAAUUUCUAACACAUCCAAAAUAUUUAUCACAUGGGUAUCUACAUCAAAAGAGCUAAUAAUCUAUGGGUAGGACCGAUUUUUUUGCCACAUCCACGCAUCAUAAAAUAGUAUAAAUCUUCACUAUCCACCAUUAAUAAAAAAUGUGGAGUAGUAUAAAUUCAUUACCUCGUUUCUUUUCUUUGAUCAUGAUUAUUUAAACUACAGAAACAGCCAUGUUACCUAGUUCAGCCUGCUUUAGGUGCAUUGUCAAUGCAUAAUUGUUUACCUCUAAAGCUCUUACCUGUUCCUGGUACUGCGACACUAAUUGCUUCAAAUGCUUCAACUCUUGAUUUCUGUCUUCAUAUUCUUUCUGGCGUUCGUGCUGAAUACAGAUAGCGCACUUCAGAAUCACGUUUUCUUGAACAAGGGCCUCCACUUGUUCCUUCAGCACCUUAUUUUCCUGAAUUCAGUAAACCAAACAAUGAGUACAAAUAUUUUGCUUGGUAUUAAAAGGAAAUGAAAGCACAUAUUAAUUUGCUUGGUAUUUGGGUUGACAAUGACAAUGCUGAGAAACAUAAAUACAUAAUAAAUAACCUGGUGGAUGUUUCGCUCUGUUUCAGCACUUGCUCUUGCGCAAAUGGACUUCUCCAACGCCUCUAGCAUUCUUGAAGCUCGAGAUUUGGCAUCAUCCAUGCUUGAAGCAUUCAUCAUUUAAUUAACAAAAAGCUCUACCCAUUCGGCACCGUUUGUAGGAUAAUUUAGUCCAGCUACUGGAUCAUCAGAACCUGCAACUUCUGCAUCACAUUUUGCUUCACCUACAACAAACAAAAAAAAACACUUAUUCCCAUCAAUACCCCAAAAUUUCAGUGGUAUAUAUAAAUUCAAACAAAUUACAUAUUUCUUAUCCACAUUAUUUAUACUUUCCAGAAUAAACACUCAAUUUUAUCUCUAAAGUAUUAUCCUCUUUCCUUAAUUAUAUUUGAGUAAAAGAAAUUAUAUAAGUAAUCUUCAAAAUUAGUAAAAUAUAUCAUGCAAAGUAGUCUCUAUUGAAAAAAUCUUCAAAUUGGUUCUAAACGAUAGUAAAAUAUAUCAGUUUAAGGACUAACCGAUGGAUAUUUAAUACUUGAUAGAUUACUCAUAUUAGUCAUAUAAUUGUAUUACUUUAUAUUUAGGAGUGAGGGUAAUAAUUGAGAGACCAAAAUUAGUAAUUUACUCCAGAUUUCUAAUAGUGAGUGGCAGCACUAGUAGGGUGUUGUUAGAUAUCUCACAUCGAUCAAAAUUCAAAACAGUGUAUAUAAGUGACUUGACAAAUUAGUGCAUGUAUGGAUAUCAAUUGGGAGAGCUUAAAACUCUUAAAAUCGUCGCUAUCCAUUUUGUAGCUUGGGAUUCCCAAGUGCAUGUUCUGAACUUAGGUUUUAGAAUUGAAUGAGGCAAAAAUUCAAAUAUGAAGAAGCUUGAAGAGGUGACAAACCUUGGAAUUGAGGAGGAGCAGUGUCAGAUGCGAUGAGAGUAGAAUCAAGAGAAGGAGGUGGUGGUGCUCCUCCUAAGCGUAACUGGUUUAAGCUUCUAAUAGCGGAGUCGAUGUCGUUGCCGCAAUCUUGGAGAACUUUCUCGAGGAGAUGGUGGAGGAGAGAGGCGAACGGGAGAAGAGGAAGAGGAACAACGGAUCCUCUGCUCACUCCGAUUAACAACAACGCCAUGAUUGGAUAAGGGAUCCGAAGCAACCACCUCCGUCAUUUUUUCCUACUACCGUGCAAUGCCGCUUCAACUAGAAACUAGUACUUUAUUAAGAAAAAGGGGUGCUAGUAAUUACUACUACUCCCUCCAGUCUCAAAUCUCAAAUAUUUAUGAAGAUUUUUUUUUUUUCACUUAAGAAAAUUAGUUAAUUGUAACUAAAAAUUAAUUUUAUUCUAACGAACUGGAGUGUCAUGAAAAUACAAUCUAUACCCAAUCCAAAUCUAAUUAAACGAAUUGAAUUUAAAAUUCAAAUCUACUUAUAACAUCUCUAAUAAGAUUUUUCAACUUGCUUUUACAUUAAAUCUAUCAUUAUUUUUAUUUUUGAGUUUUUUAUGAUACAGUUAGGUUGCAGGAGAAGAACUCCUCUCUAUGAAAGAAAUAGUUUUUUUAUGUGUAAGUAAAAUUCAACAAUUUAAAUUACGUUUUAUUACUGAAGUUGACAAAAGUUUUUGUAUGAUAUGUGACAUUAUAAGAUCAACAAAAAAUAUCUAUGAAUUAUUCCAUUAAAGAUAUUCUUAAUUAGAUAAAAGUGGUUUGAAUAUUUUUGAAAUCCGUUUAAAAUGGUUUUAAAACUGAUUUAUAGUUUAAAAUUAUUUUGGUUUUCAAUCUACUUUUAAAUCAUAAAUCAAUUUAGACCUAUUUUAGCUAGGGUUGUUUUUAGUUUACUUUUGUCAUAAUUAAAUUUGGUCAACUUUGCCUAGAAUUAUUUUUUGUCAACGUUGAACAGGAUUAUUUUCGGUCAAGGCUAAAACUAUUUUUUGGUUGAGGUCGAUUAUAAUUUUUUAAUCGAUCGGCGUCGAACACGACUGUUUUUUUACUGACAUAAAUUAAGUUUUUUCAAUCGACAUUAAUUAGAAUUAUUUUUUUAAUGAACGUUGCCUAGAUUUUUUUUUACUCAUGUUGAUUAAAGUUUUUUUUUAUCGAUGUCCAUUGAAAAUAUAAUCCCAACAAACAUAAUUAAAACUAACACAUCAAUUAAAAUAUGAUAUGUAUGUAUAAAUAUAUAUGUUUCAAGCAUAAUUCUAUAACCUUACACAUAUUAAUAUGUACAUAUAGAUAUGUAUAGAUCUGUAUAGCCGAAAGAAUCAUUUUAGGAUUUCAAUAAAACUCGUUAUUAGAAAUAAAAAUAAGUCAUUGGAAUCAAAAGGAAAUUUAUAAAAGAUAUUUUAGAAAUAAUAACAUUAAUAAGAUAAAGUUAAUUAUUUUUUUAUAUUUGAAACUAAAAAAUAAAUAUUUUUCUUUUCUUAUAUUUGUACUAUUAAGACACACUUUUUUUAUUAUUGGUUAUAAUUUACUAAUAAAAAAGAAACUCGUUUUCAAUAAAUAAUAAUACAGUACUUAUAAAAUUUUGGGAUUUCAUAAGAGCGUCAUGUUAGUAUUUCAUAAUUAUUAAACAUAUCUUAUGUUUUUACUAAACAUUUUUUUUUGAAGAUAUCAUAUUUUAAAUAAUUUGAAUAUUAGAAAAUAUCAAAUAUUUUUAAUGUAAUCAAUAUUCUUUUAAUACCUUUCUUUUAUUAUGUAUUCACAGACAAGUAUUUUUUUUUUUUAGUUUUGUGUCACUUCAUCGUUUCAUACUAAAAUUGCAAUCUGAAUCUUAUUUUCAAUUUCGCCCAUUCUUUGUCGAAAUAUAAACUUUCUUAUUUCUUAGCUUAACCAUUUUUGUCUGUCAAAAGAACAUAUCUUAACCAUUUUUGUUUUAUUGUAAGGUUGGUAACUUGUUUUAUCUCUGUAGUCCUCUGUAGUCUGUUAGGCCGAAGAAAGAGUGAGAUUUUUUUUAUAUAUACAUAAAAAAGGAUAGAGGAUUUUUUUGCAAAAAUAUUUUAUUAGGGAAUUUAAGAACUUUUCUUUUUUCACAGAACGUUACUUUUUUCUAUUAUGCCUCGUAUUCUUAACAGUUAAAUUGAUAAUAUAAAAUAUUUACAGCAUGUUUUCCUUAAAUUUUUUACAGAAAUGUUUGACUUAACUUAUUUUUUUAAAAAAAUAGUUAUGUUUUUUUUAAUAUAACUCAUUCUCAAACAGAUGUCUAACGAUAUAUUUCUACUUUUUCAUGUCAACGCUAUUUUUCGAUGGUGGACAUGUCUCAAAUUCUUUUUUGGAGAUCAUUAAAAUUAGGAUUCAAUUGAUUUAUUUUAUUUUAAAACUAUUUAACAGAAGUAAAAUGAACAAUAUAUAUUAUUGAAUUUAAAUUAUUCAUCAGUACCAAUUUAGAUAUUGAUUUUCCAUCUGUGACAAAUUUUAUCUCGUAGAUACUCACUCAUAGGUAUGGAUUUUUUUGACAUGAUACAAAAUAUUUGUGCUUUUAGUUUAGAGUGUGUUUGGAAACACGUUCAAACCAUCUUCAAUGAAAAAAAUGGCUUUCAUAUGUUUAUAUUGAAGAGAGUGUGUUCCCAUUAAUAUAUAAUUUGAGUGACUUUCAUGAAGAUGAAAUGAUUGUGAUACUAAUUGAAGAGUUAUUGUAGUUCAUUAUUGUUCAAGUUCUUUUCAAUGAUGAGUGACAUGAUUUGAGGAAUUAUCGAGUCUAAUGAUUAUGACUGAGGUCCUUGUGAAUAGAAGAGUAUGCAAUCCGACAAACUUUGAGCACCAGAAGAUGAUGAAGCUUCUUAAUUAGAAGACUACACAACCUUGCAAGUCGCGAGUGUUGAAGAGACUUGAUGAAGUCGGUCAAGGUAUCAUCAUUUGUAAUAUUCAUUUAGUAAUUUUUCUUUUUAAGUUUAUACACUGGAAGAGUAGUUAAAUUGUAAAAAAAAAAACGUAAUGUGUAAUGAUAGAAUUCAUUUAAAAUUUUAAAAUUGAAAAUAUUGAAUUAGAGAUGAUCUGAUACUAAUUUAUUAGGCAAUCCCAUACCUAGUUUGCGUGUGUUGGCUAGAAGUGCCCGAAUUGAAUUGCCAGUUUGCCAAAGGUACUUUUUGAUGUGCCGACGAUAGUGGGAACCUACAAAGUACAAACAUUAACCUCUUACAUCUGUUGAGUAAUUUAUUAGAUAGUAACUUAGAAGAAAAAGAACACGAAUUUUGGUCCAUUAAGUUGUUCUAUUACGAGAAUCUUCACCUUUCUCUUCAGCAAAUCUUACUCCAGAUCUCAUUUCCCAACAUAAACCGUUUACAUUUGCGUUCUACUUUACCUCACGACAUGAUAAAAAAAAAAAUCACAAGAAUAACAGGCUCAUUUAAAACAAUUGGUCGAUCUUAUUUACUAUAACUGAGAAAAUGCUUUACCAUUUUUUUCUUCGAGAUAUUUAUAGCUUCAUGCUUGUUCUUUUCUUAAGUUUUUACACAAUAAAAUGCUAGCUGCGGAUGUGGCAAAUUUCAGUUUAAAAAAUAAAAAUAAAAUUGCUUAGAGAAAAGGCUGCAUAAAGAGUAAUUAGUCAGCUUUUUCAACAAAACUUAUUUACAGAUAAAUUCAAUAAAUAUUUGAUACUUAUAAUAUGGUAAAUAAAAAAAUCCGCCAGUAGAAUUGAUAUUGCAGCUGAACUUAAAUUAGCAUUUAAAGAUUUGGUGUUGGUCCUGGCUUAGGCUUAGGAACAAUGGUCGGAAAAGUUGAGAAGCAUGAAGCAUCUGGACACAAAUGACAUAUUCUUUUAAGAUAUCUUAUCAUCUAUGUAUGUGCCUUUACUACCAAUGGCGCCCAUCUAUUGCGUGCUUCCCUGACACUAUUGCUUGAUUGCAUGAUGUUGAUGCUUGACUGGACGGAAGUCACGGAACCAUGUUACCUCAAGUUCUUCACCGUCUUUGCAAUACUUUCAUAAGCACACAAUAAAUUACUCAUUUUUAUUAUACCUUUAUGUAUUUGAUUGUGAAUCCAAUGAGAUGUCAAGCUAAUAGUAUGUAUUGUGUAGGGAUUUUUGGGCCCUAGAUAAUAAUGUCUCAAUAGCUGUGGAGCUUUUUAAUCAACAAAAGUUGACUUAAGGCUAAAGUUAUAUUUAACAAAAAUAUGAGUUGGAAUCUGAAUAUUAACCAAAGAAUCUUGUUGAUAGGUAGUUUAUAAAUAUUUUUGUAGGUAUUUUUUAAGUCAUGAAGUCAGUUCUAAUUUUAAUAAGUGAUCGAGAUUUAAUUUAUUUAAACUUUUAAUAGAAAAAAAAAACAUGGUGUGACAUAUUAUGUGUUACAUUAAUAUUUAUGAAAAAAAUAUAGUUCUGAUGGAUUUUUUUUUUCUUUCAUGCCAAUUAUUUGGCUUGAUAACUUUAUCCCUCCAACAACAGGAAUUGUUGUUUGCCCAUAUGAUGGCCUUCAGUGCCAUACACUAGUCACUAUUCCAAAACCCUCCUCCCCUCAUCCUGUGUGUCACUUCUAUGUGUUAGUGAGUAUAUGGUGGGGGCCAAAGAUUAGGACCCACAAACUUAGUGGGGGCAAUUGGCAUCACUCCUCUCCAACAAGGUUUCUCAAGUUGCAAGCACAGUGUAGAAAAAAAAGAAAAAAGAAUAGGAUCUCAAAUUGCUUUUCAUCGCCCCAAGCAUCAUAGAAUACAAUUUUGUUUAUAGUUGGUUGAUGAAAUGACCUCUCACCAAGCAACCUCUCCCUCCCUCUCCCCCACUCACUCUUUCUUUCUUUCCCUUCUCCCUUAAAUAUGCCUCUUCAAGAGAAAUCCACCGAUGCUAGACCCAUUGCUCAUGCAUCCAUGUAGGAAUCUAUCCCACCCCAAUGCCUAGAGAGAGAGAGAGAGAGAGUGAUGGGAUUGCACUCAAAUAUGCUCUUGACCAUCUUUCUAUUAGUUUUGACCAAACAAUUAUAAGACUCUAAAUUGUUUAAUAAGUGUAACUUAAUUGACGCCUAAUUAUAAGAGCUUUUGGUGGCGAUGGCUUACAUAUCGCAAACUCUUUUUUGCGGAUCUUUUGUGCCAAUAUGCUGCUUACACAACCAUAUAACAUUAAUCUUUCCGCAGAUGAAGAGGAGGAAAGUCAAAGCAAUGUAGAGAAGUCCCCUAUGUUAAAUAACCAAUGUCCAAUAAGGAGUUGUAUGUUAUAUUGCAAGCCACAAUAAUGUGCCUAUCCUUGUCUUUUAUGGGAUUUUUUUUUUCAUUUUGAAUCGUUGAAUUUUUGCCCCGAGGUGAAUAAUAAUAAUAAUAAUAAUAAUAAUAAUAAUAAUAAUAAUAAUAAUCCCAUUUAGUUUCCACAUUAUUAUUUUUAUCUAUUUUACCCACAAUAGUUACACAUACACUCAACUGUUUACACAUGACUAAAAGAAAAAUAGUUAACAAUUAUAUAUAUAUGUACGAUUUAAAAAUAAAAUAAUAUAUAUAUGCAUUUUAACUGUUAUAAAAUUAAUUGCACAUUUUAAUUUCCUAUUAAUAAUAAAAAAUAAUCCGUUUAGUUUUCAUAUUUUUUAUUUUAUUUUAUUCUCAAUAGUUGCACACAAAAUUAUGAAAUCCGGUUUGGUUAGUGAUCCAAUUGAAGUAAUGAGUUAGCAGUAGAUCAGUAAUUGACUCAGUUUGACUCGGUAAAUAUUAAAAAAAUUAAAAUUAUACAUAUAUCUAUUAUAUAUAAGUAUAUAAUUAACAUUAUGUGACUAAGAAAAAUUCAUUUAUACUUCAAAAUCCAAAAUAACAAUUAAAGUAUUAAAGUUGAUAACACAAGUUCACAAAUGAUAAUUCAAUAACACAAUUACACAAGUCUCGAGUUUUUUUUAGCAUUUUUUUUUGUUUUUUUACAAGAAACGGGUUUUAAAAACUGGCUUAAGUCGCUAUGUUUACCCCAAACCGGUCGUGUUUGGUCGGGUCUGAUCGGAUCAUCCUGGGUCAAAUGUAUGACCAGUCCACUAAUCAAACCAGUCCGAUUAUGUUACUAGAUCUCAGUUGAACCGGUUCGACCGUUAGAAUCAGAGUAGAUUUUUAAUCUAUGAUUCCACAUAAGUAAGAUAAUAAUAAACAAACUACCUUAAAUACAAAGUGGUACUAAAAGUGCAUACAUGUAUUAAACAAAAAAAACUAAAACUGCCUUUAUUAUUCUCCUUUAUUAUUUUUAUUUCCUUUCAAUAAAAAAUACAGGUAGAGAGUGUCUUUCUUCCCCUGACAAGAAUAAUAAUAAUCUGUAAGGAUAAUUGCUAAAUACCCUAAACCCAUUGUUUCAGUUUUACUACUUACCAACAAUCAGCAAGAAUCAUGAAUGAAUCAAUGAUGAAACCAAACAACAAAAAUCUAUAUACUCUGGUCAUCAGAAACCCCAAACAAUGUUCUGAAAUGCGUUAUAUUCAUUUUUUUAUUUUAUUUUAUUCAACCUUUAUUUUUUACAGCAUUAUUUUAUUGAAUCUUGUAAACGUCGUAUCUAGAUAAUGGCUUUUGAAAAAAAUUAUUUUCUCUACCUUUUUAAGUUCAUGUUUGAAUGUUGCUUAAAAAACAAAAGUUUAUGUUUGAAUGUGAGUUGUGGAAAUUUAAAGAAUUCUAUUCUCAAAAUAAUUUUUCUUUAAAUUUUCAGUUUUGAAAUUUAGAAAUAUAUAUUGAAAUUUUCAAAAAACACAUUUCCAAUUUUUAUCCAAAUACAAUUUAAUUCGUAUGAUGGGAGAUGUUACCUCCAUGCUUGUUAUACAUUUGCUGAAGAGUAAUGUUAUUUUCAUAUUGAUUUUUAUCAUAAUUUUUAUAAUAUGAAAAGGUAGAAAAAAAUAUGAAAUAAGAUAAAUAAUAUGAUAGAAAAAGAUGCAAAAAUAAAUAGUAUAAGAAUCGCACUCUUUUGUGAAUUGUUGCUUUUAUGAUACUGUCAAAGGUUUUAUAAUAACAUCAAAUACUUACAAAAUCCACGAGAAUUAUAUAUAUAUAUACAUAUAUUCCAAUAAAUUUUUGUAUCAAAUUUUAUAAAAAUGAAUGACUAAUAAGUAUAUAAAAAUAUUUAAUAAUUUUUUUUAUUAAAUAACUAGUAUUUUUACACACGUGAUAAAUAUUUUAUAGAUAAUAUAGUUUAUUAUGAAUAAAUAUUUUAUCAGAUUUUAUAAAUAUAUUGUAAUUAAAUUUAUAAUAAAUAAAUCAUUUAAAUUUUCUUAAAAAACUAAAUGGGCAGGCGACUAAUAAAAUGAAGUACACAAAUAAAAAGGAUAAAAGUAAGGUAGUUUAAGAUGAUUGUGUAAAAUAUUUUCGUUAGUUAUAGAAAAAGAGUGUGAAAUAGCCGUAGAAUUGUCUAUUUUACUCAAUUUUUUUUCAUUCCAUGAUAAAUGUAGGUAUAAAUUAAUUAAAAAUUAAAAGACAAAAAGGGUAUAAUUGAUAAAAGAAUAAUUAAUGUGAUUUUAAAUUUUACAAAUAAUGUAUAAUACUUUUUUAAAAAAAUUGACAAUUAAAAAGAAACCGAGGUGAUAAAAUUUAAGCAAGUAGAUAAAUAGUAAAGAGCUAAAUUGUUAAAAAAAAUGAUAAAGUAAUAAAUUAAUAAAUGCAAAAGUUAGAACCAAAGAUAGACCGUAAAAAAUGUCGAAAUCAUAAUAUUAAAGAAGAAACAUAAAGUAAAAUACUAGAUGGUUUUUGUUACGAAUAAAGGAUUGAUGAAUGAAUGGCGGUGAAAGGCAUGAAGGAAGGAGGCACUCCCAAAAAAAAAAUGAUAAAACUUUGUUGGACAUGAGGUUUUAUGUUGUUAUGUUUUGGUAAUUUCAAGCAGCAGAAAGGUAAAAAAAAAAAUACAGAGAAAGAGAGUGUGCCCCAUUCCCACCCCCCACACAAAAGGUGGUGGGAAAAAAGUUCUUUUUGUACACACUGCGAUGAUGAUGCCUGCAAUCUCCAACACAAACACAAACACCAUUUCUUCCUCUUCUCUCUCUCUCGUCACUCUCUCUUCUUCUUCUUCUUCUUCUUCUUUCUCAAC
This 46233-nucleotide long non-coding RNA is filed under the name Glycine max (soybean). RNAcentral's name for it is "long non-coding RNA (GMAX_LNC003861)". Lineage: Eukaryota; Viridiplantae; Streptophyta; Magnoliopsida; Fabales; Fabaceae. The record is from RNAcentral.